Molecule: long non-coding RNA, 71237 nt
Filed under: Ananas comosus (pineapple)
Lineage: Eukaryota; Viridiplantae; Streptophyta; Magnoliopsida; Poales; Bromeliaceae
Description: long non-coding RNA (ACOM_LNC014485)
Source: RNAcentral
AAAAUAACAUACACUACAACAGAAUUAGAUUAUAGGGACCUAUGUUUGGGACACUUUUGUGUAAGUGUCCAAUUUAUGCCAAAACUUUAAAAAAAAAUUUACUAAUGUCUAAAUAUAAAGUCCAAUUCAACAAAAAAUAAAAGGUUACUCUACUCAACCCACCCCACCCAGUCCAUUCGGCCCGAUUACAAACAGAAAAGAAAAAAAAAAGAAAAAUCGAUUACCAUUUCCCCUUCUCCCCUUACUCAAUCGACUGAAAUUCUAGACGAGAUCCCUUCCUCUCAUCCUCCUCAGCCACCGCAGCCAACGAGGUAGAGUUCCGGCGGCUGCUAAAUGCUUAAAUAAAUAUUGGUAAAUUAGCAGCACUGUUUUAGGUUAUAGCGACACUCUUUAACUGUCACUAUAUACUUAGCGACCCUACAUAUAGCAACACUUUUUAAAAGUAUCGGUAAUUUAGCCAGCAACACUUUUUUUGACCGGUACCGAUAUUUAAAAGUGUCGCUAUAGAACAUUUUUGUUGUAGUGAUAGGUUUUGAUUGCACUUUUAUAUAAUUUUGUUAUACCUUGUACAACUCUAAAACACAAAAAAAAUCUAUUUUUUCUCUUCAGUAAUAAUAAUCCGGUAUGGGGAUUGAUGAAUAAAGUAAAUUUAUCUUUAGUUAUCAUUAUUAUUAUUUUCAUGCCAUAGAGUAAAAAGAAAUACUUUUUUUUUCCCUCUAUUUUCGUGCUUUACUAGAUUACAUGUAAUACAAGCAAUCAAAAGUAGGGGACCUAUUAAAUUAUAUAUGUGAUUAAGUUUCGAAAGCCUAUAUGCUAAAAUUUAAAAUUUAAAUGCCUAGUUACAAAAGUGCCAAAAUUUAGAGGGCCUACGUACAUAUUUACCUACAACUAAAUUUGGCAUUAGUGUGCACGUCCAAAAAAGUGGUGCACCUCAAUUCCCAUUGGCACAAGCUGUCGCAGCUAAUAUUUCUGCAUCUCGUGGGUCAUAAUAAAAAAAAAAAAUAUAUAACAAAUAAUUUAGGAUAUAUAAUAAUUGAGCAUAAACUAUUAUCAUUCCGUAUCUAGUCAAAUCAAAUCUAGCUAAUAAUGGCCUAGCUAAGACCCAUUAUGCCUCAUUAAUUAUUGUUAUUAAUUAAUUAAAACAAACACAUGCAUGCAUGUUAACGUGAAGAACCCUCGUCCGUACGUAGAAGAUUUUCUAAAGGCAUCUCGCGACCGUGUAAGCGCAAGAAAAUUAAGCUUAAUUUGAACUUGGAACUAUGCGUUUUGUAAAAAUUUAUGCAAUGAUUAAUGAAGUUCAAAUUUUGACUAUAUACAUCAAGAAGGAGAGAGACAUCCACAUGGUGUAAAAUGUGGAGUGAUUAAGCAAAGAAAGAAUAUCUAAGCUUAUGAUCAACUUAAAUAACAUGAUACCUUUGUGGGUAAUGAAUUAACUCAGAUAAAAUUUGUGAUCUAAUCCUAAUAUACCAAACAAAUUAAGCAGGUCGAAUUGUUUAGGUCCGUUUUGAUUCGGUUCACCUUCAUAGUUCAGUUUGUUUUAAUUAUCUUUUUUAAAGAGGAAUCAAAAAUCGAGACGGCCAAAUGCUCACUCUGUAAACAUAUAUAAAAUAUGUAAUUAAAGCUUAAUUAGUAUAUAGUUAAUUACUUAUGAUUAAUCCCAACACAAUAAUGACUUAUAAUGUGACUAUAUUAGCAUAUAACAUUGGAGGCUUUAUGAUUUCACAUUGAGAGCACAUGUGACACGAGGAGAGGACUUAGCUGAGACAUUAAAAUAUAUAUAUAUUGUUUCAUAUUAUAUAUAUAAAUAGUUUAUGAGAAUUCUUAAUUAAAUAAAUGUGAUUUGUGGCCUACAUGGGUUUUGUAUACACGAAUAAUUUGCACCUAAACCAUAAAUGCAUUGGACUAUUUACACCUAAGAAUAGAAAAGUUGGACAUGCUAAUAAAUACUCAUCACAAUUAAAUAUUUGUUAUAAUAACUAAUAAUUAAGAAGUUGUUAGGCUAGCAAUUUGGACGCUUAUAUAUCAUUCAGGGAAAAAGAAAAUAAAAAGAUGCUAUUUAUGUACGUACCUAUGAAUUAAGCUGCCAUCUAAUUAUGUGUCGUGCAUGCACCAAGUAUAUAUCUAAUUAACCGAGUAAAUGGGAAUUGUUCUUAAUAAGAUUUUGAUCACAAUGUAACCCAAAAAGGCUAUGACGUACUGAAUCGAAAAAUAAUAGAAAAGGUGCAUAAUCAAAUUUAGCCCAUAAACAUAAUGUGUGAGAAAUUCGACCCAGAUUAAUCACUUGGAAUUAAGGAAAGCUCGGGUUUUAGAAAUUACUUUAUUAUUAUGUUAUCUGAAAGAUCGAUCUGUUGAUAUGAAAAUGCCUAAAAAUAAUCCCAUUAUAUGUACAGUACGUGUGAUGGAAGAAGAUGAUCCUCUUCAUGAAUAUGAUGGAAAAGUCGAUUCAAAUGUGUACAUUAAAAGGUUACAAUAUUGUUCAUCUUUUGAAGACAUUAACCUAAAUAUUAAUCACUAAUCUAGGAAACUCUAAUGUUAAAGGUCGAUCCGACCAAAAUUAAAUUAUGCACGUACAAAUUAUGUUAACAUAUACAUACAUCAUGAUUCACACGCAAUAACUUUAUAGCAUUGAAUAAAUAAUAUUACAUUAUUAAUUACUACACAAGGACAGGUUAUGUUAGUUAGUGGCGAACAACUAAUUCUAGAGCUACUGUUAUUAAAAUUAAUGAGAAACCUGAAAAAGCUUAAUCUCAACUGCUGAUCAAUUUAUUAAUUUAUACUAUAAUUUUUUAUUUUUUUUUUGAGAAAAAGGUAGCACGCUACCCGCUUCAUUCACUCAGGAUAUGAACUUAGCUACAUGGGUGAGGCAACAAGGCCUCUAAAGAGAUGACAAGCCGAACAAAGACGAAAAUAAUAAUAAUAAUAAUAAUAAUAAUAAUAAUAUAAAAGAAAAAAUCAGUGUUUCUCCAUAGGGCGAAGUUUCCCCCACAAGGACGUCAGCUGUUUAACCUUAUAGCAACCACGGAUUGGAUCAGUCUGAUUCCUCCUAAAGAUCACACCAUUCCUGGUCUCCCAAAUAACCUACCAACAGGCAAUUAGUCCAGGUAAACCAUCACUCAUGGACUGAGACCCCAUCCUUCCACUCCGUCUGUCCCAAACCAUAUGCACAUCUUCGGCCAAAUCUCCUGCUUGGACAUCCUCCAAUGACAUCAUCAUAAGAAAUUUGAAGAAUACACAUUGAGAAAAAAGGUGGUCUACUGUUUCCAUAUCAGACCCACACAGCACACAAUUCGUGUUGCCUAUCUAUCCUUUUUUUAAUAAAUUAUCUACAGUAAGAGGUCUCUUCUUGAGGACGAGCCAGCAGAACACUUUAACUUUUAAUGGUAUGCAGAGCUUCCAAAUUUUGCAGGUCCAUCCAUCCCUCGUCCCCCCGUCACACAUUGCCGAAUACGUUGACUUCACAGUAAAACGCUCGUCAGGGCUCCACUGCCAAUGCACACUGUUCGGUCCCAGUCCAGGUUUGAAGGAGGAAAACCGUGCCUUGAGGGCCGAGAUGCAUGCAGUCAUCCUGUGGUCACUAGUGCUGGUGCUACUUAGAAUCUUGUCUCAGCACUAGCCGUUACUAUUUGAGUAUUCACUGAUUUUCAAACUUUUACGAGUCGAUGACCGGAACACCUCAGGAAAAGUCGAAGAGAGAGUGGUUUCCCCACACCAUCGAUUUGACCAAAAGUUGAUAAUACGCCCAUUGCCCAACUUGUAGCAGACUCCCCAGUUGAAUAUAUCUUUUUGACUUAGAACGCCCUUCCACCAAAAGGAGGAUGGUCGAAAGCACCCGCCCUCUUUUAGUGGUCUUCUUCUAAGAUAGAACAGCUCACGAAUUAUCUUGUUCCAUUGCAACUGAGGCGCCGUAAGAAAUUUCCACCACCAUUUGGCGAGGAGGGACAGGGCGGCUUGCGUCAGCGGCGCUCCCCGCGACGACGACGUGGCUCGUGACGGCGGCGAUGGCGAAGUCAGCGUACGACAGUCGGCGAUGGAUUCCAAUGGGCAGAAAUAGCGUGACAUUCGAGAAAGGAUUUCGUGGGGUGCGUCGGUGCGGGACAGUGAUCGAGGAUGCUGCAUCGGAUUUGGAGGGUUACACGAGAAGGGGAGGGGCUAAGAUGAAAAUGAAGGAAGGCUACCACUCCACUUUCCUAUCUACUAUUGCCUCAUUUAAGAGGAUGGGAGGGUGCAUUAAUUUGCUGCCAGGUUCGGUGUCUCGGGAGGAGAUCCAUAGGAGGAAUGAUUGGCUAGUGGGGGCGGGACCCGAGGACUUGAAUAGGGUGGGUCAACUUUUGGGACCACCUUCACAAAUGGUGCAAGAUGCCAUGUUGACCAUCCAUUUAAUAGCAUUUAUGGGUAGCCAUGUACUGUUGGAUGUGGGGGGGUGUGUUUCCAAUAUCUUGCUUCGGGUACACGUGGGACCGCUUGGUUUUCCUUGGGAUUGGAGGCUUGUAAUGGGUUCGGGUGGUGUUGUGUCGAUACGAGGUGGGCCGGGUGCAGGCCAUUCAUCUCCUGAUCCAAGCACCGGACUCCAGUUUUGGACCGUGAUGGCGGGAGGGGAGCACGAAGACGUUACCUGUAGCGAAAUGAGCUCUUCUAAAGCUGGUAUGGGGUAACUAAUUGGGGCCAUGUGUCUUGCAAGCCUAUUUCAGAUGGGUGCGAGCCUAUUUCAGAUGGGUAUGUGUAAUACACUGAACUUUUACAAAAUUACGGAGUUCGAGUGUGUGGAAUGAGUUGUGGAACUAUCCUACAUGUUCUACAAGGCUUGGACAAGUUUUUGGACAAGUUAGAGAGUGAUUGGAAAGCUAAAUGCAAGAAAGUGUAUUGAUCUGGCGAAAUUAGCAGUUUUCUGCUUGGUGUACCGGUACAGCCAUUAUGGUGUACCGGUACACAAUGGGAAAACGUGGCAGCAAGGGUCUUUUGGUCAUUUCACAUCUUGUUCCUAUCCUUUUGAACCCAGCACGACCUGGGAUGCUCAGAGGAGGUUGCUAGAGUUCUGAGAAGACUUCUUUUACCUUCUUCUCUCUCUCUCUCUAGGAAUUCUGUCUCUCUAGAUAAAAGUCGCCGUUUGCGUCGUUUUCGUCGCCUCGCUCGAUCUUCGCUGGUUGUGGGUGUCACAGAGUUCACGUGGACGUGUGAGAGAGUAUUUUGGAGAGCUUUUCGCAGCUCUGAACCAGUGAAGUGCUGGUUAGAAGCUUGAGAAAGUAAUCGACUCGAUUUUCUCCAUUAUCAACGUUCUAUUAGUCGAUUUAAGUGUUGCUUUUGCGUUUUUGCUUCCAACUGACUUAAACUGAGAUUUCAGCUGUUAAAUAUGAGUUAGUUAGCUGUGAAUUAACCAUCUUAGACCAGGGAUAAGCUACUUUGAAGUUUAAUUAGAAUAAUUAGCCAUUUAUGAAGCUAAAUUGGAACAAAAUGCAAUUGUUUGAGCGAAUUGAUGCAAAUUGGGGAUUAUUUCUGCGCAGCAGGUCUUCGAGCUUCGUUGAGCUGAAUUUGUACUCUUAGAAGCUGGUUUGGAAGCUGCUCUAACCCAGGGUAAGCAGGAACUUCCGUUAGAAAUUCAAUUUCGCAAGAAUUGAACUAUAUAAGCUCAUAUACAAGCAUUUUGACGCCGUUUCGGUAUUGUUCACAGCGAGAGGAUAUUUGACCUUUGGGCCACCUUCGUUUGGCAGUGGAGGGCCUUCCGGAAGCUAAACGUGAGGUAAUGAACUGAGCCAAAACAGGAAAUUAAGCUUCCACUUUGUAUUAAUUGAGAAUUUGUCGAAAUUGGAUUCUUAUGUAAUCGCUUCGAUGCGCAUUUCGUGCUUCGUUUGCAGCAGGGCUGAGGCCUAGUGGAACUGAAUUACGGACUUUUGGGGACUGAUUUGGAGCCUAGUACUAGGUGGGUUUGACCUAACCAGAGCAAGUGAAGCUCCCCUAUGUUUUACAUGUACCAUAGAGUUGGUAUAGUUAUGCGUGAUUGUGAGUAAUGUGAUUAGUAAAGUACGCGCAUCAUGUUGCCAUAAUGUUGAUAUAAUUGAAAUAGAAUCUCUAUGAAGUAGAGAAUCCUCAUGCACAAAAGUAUUCAUACUCCUGUUUAGUUUAGUUGAAUAACUAUGAGACAAGUUAUUAUGCUCAUGAAAAGUAGAGAACCAUGACAUUCUCUUUUUACUUGCUUGAGUACAAAGUAGAGAACAAUGACAUUCUUUUGGACUCUAAAGUAGAGAACCAUGACAUGCUUUGGGACUAUAUUGGUAGUGCCAUGAUAGUGAAAAGAUUCUAAUGCCAGGUGUAAAUUAGCAUUACCCUUGCAUGCUUACUAAACUAGUGGAUUUUAGUUGUUGUUAAUAUUUGUUAUAUUGAAAUUCCGAUCGAGGAUCGAGACUGAGAACAUUGCAAAUGAAAAUAUGAUAAUUGAGACAUGUGGACAGUGGAAUAUGCUUGCUUGCCAUCGUGCUCAUUCGCACACGCUUGUGAGGGUAGCUCCCUACAAGCCGGCACUCCGGAGUUGGCCUACGCGACAGUUGCUCGCCCGUGUGGGAUUGGGUGCCGAAGUGGAUUGCCGUGGGGAGUGUAUACUACCACGGGGCCAUUAGGCGCGGCGCAAGCUGGACUACCUUGAGUAGAUCCCUGUGAAUGAAAGGAAAGUGCUAAAGGAAAUUGGACAGUAAUGAAUGAUUACCAGUUACAGUGUAUAGUAGUUACUUACACAUUUAUGCUUAUGUUCAUGCUUAUCAUAGUUGCUAUGCUUCUAUUAUUCAGUUGAUUCAUUACUGUUGAAACCAUGAUUACAUGUUGCUUACAUGCUCAUUACCUGUUAGCAUUGCAUAAUUAUAUAUCAUGCAAUUACUGAUUUCGCUUUCAUUUAGUACAUCAUGAGCCUAGUGGUGUAAUUCGCCGAGACUGGCGGCUUACCCACUGGGAACUAUUGUUAAUAGUUCUCACGCCCCUUUUUGUGGUUGUUUUUACAGAGCCAUCUACAGGAGAGGCUAGGGAUCGUGGCAAGGGAGUCGCGUCUAGCUAGACAUUGCUAGGAGCAUGCUAGUCGAUCACCUUGCUACUCGGGCUACGGCCGAGGGUGAUGUCCCUAUGUAUAGAGCGACCACCAUUGUACCUAUUCUUUUGUAUACCCCGUGAUGUAUAUGUACUUUAUGGACAGUCACUAUGGUUUCACUAUGGUUAUGAUACUUUCUCUUUUAGUCGAGAUUUUGAAUUGUACACUCUUUGUUCUUUUGCUGAUAGUAUAUUAACUUGUACUUUGCUCUGAUAUCAGGAUAGGAUUAUACUAUGCUUCUUCCUAUCGACUUGCUUCUUGUAGACGCCUUAUAUACUGCAGGUGUAUGGCGGGUCUGUGCACGUACCGGAUAUGCUUCCGCGGGUACCCGGGCGUGACAGUAUGGCGAAUUCUCCACUGAGUUAGAUUUGGUGGAGGGAGCGAGGUCGGAGGUUUGGGACGAGGCUCGGGUCCCUUAAAUGAAGACAAUUACCCUGAUUCGAGCCAGUGCGCGUCUUGCGAGUACCGACAAGAUCUCAAUUGUUACCAAGGCGCUAAACAAAAAGAUGCGACAGCGAGAAAGGGGGGCGGUGCUGUUUCUGAUUCUACACUAAAGAAAAUCGUCCACAAGGGUCGUUGCUGUGCGGUGAUCCUGAACGAUGCUGAGGCGAUGGGACUCGUUGGGUUCGCGAAGAAAUGAGCACGUCGCGGACAUGUACACAGGAUAGUAGACACUUUUUGGCUUUUUUUGGGAUGUGGUGUCUAUUAUGUUUUGUUGAUUAGGGUCUGUAGUUGGAAUGUUAGAGGGCUUAACGACCCUUCUAAACGUUUUGUGGUACGAGAUGUAAUCUCUACAAUUCGAAAUGCUGUCGUGUGCAUUCAAGAAUCUAGAGUUGGGACAUCUCGGGGUCUUUCCUACGUAGUUUUGUUGGGUCCUUUCUUGACAAAUGUGUUUUUGUUGAAUCAAAUGGCGCAUCCGGAGGACUGAUCACUUGUUGGAGCUCUCGCAUCUUUUCCUGCAGUGAAGUGUUAGUGAGGCGCGAUUCCAUCACAGUCCACCUGACCCUAAUCAACUAUGGAACACGUUUCUUUGUUACGAAUGUCAAUGGACCAGCUUCUUGGGAUGGCAAGGAGGAUUUCUACACGGAGUUACGGCUGUUGAAGGACUACUGUAAAGGAAAAUGGAUUUCGUGUGGAGACUUUAACAGCACUAGGAGUCAGAAGGAGCGAAAGGGAAAGACUUGGAGCUCCAGAGCGACUGAUUUGUUCAACACCCUCAUUAAGGAGCUCGAGUUAAUUGAUCUUUCUAUGGCCAACCAAUCUUUUACUUGGUCUAACUUACAGAGCAACCCUACCCUUGCUAGACUCGAUCGGUUCCUUGUAUCGACUGAAUGGGAGUUGGAAUUUCCCCUUUCUAAGGUGGUCUGUCUUCCCAGAUUUGUCUUGGACCACUGCCCCAUACUCCUCUCAGUUGAGAAAAAGGUACCGAGGUCUAAGACAGGCUUUUGGUUUGAGGCAGCUUGGUUAAAUCACGAAGACUUGGUUUCCAAACUGCCUAGUUGGUGGCAAGAGGGGUGUACGCAGAACUCGGCCAUUCUUACGUUCACGGCAAAAUUCAGACACUGCCGUAGAAUAAUUAAAGAGUGGUGUGCUACUGAAUUCUAUUGUAUUACAGGAGUUUAGAAGAAACUUAUGGAGGAAAUCCAGGAAAUCGACAUACAGGAAAAAAUGUGCCAUAUUUCACAGGGAAUAGCCAAUAAGAAGGAGGAACUUAAGGACCAACUACUCAGGGUAUUUAAAGAUGAGGAAGCAUUGUGGGGAACCUGAGCAAAACAGCAUUGGCUACGGGAGGGCGACAAUAACACCAAAUUCUUUCAUGCUGUAGCCAAUGGCCGGAGGAGAACAAACAGAAUUGACGUGAUCGAAGAGAGUGGGACGGUGUAUCAUUCUGAAGAGGAUAAACAGAAUGUCUUAUUUCAAAAUUUUAAAAAGCUUUACUCACCGGAUGAGUUGGCUCCAUCAUCAUUCGGGAACUGGAGUGAGCUUUUCAGGACGGCGCGGGUUAGCCCUACCGAUCGUGUGCAUUUAACGAGGCCUUUCACUCUUGAUGAAGUUAAACAAGCAGUUUUUCAGCUUGGGAGUGAUAAGGCGCCGGGACCGGAUGGAUUCCCGUUGUGCUUCUACCAAACAUUACACCCUAAAGGGUGAUAUCUUGAACAUUUUUCAAGAAUUGUUCGAGGGGACGCUAGACACCAACCCUAUUGAUUAUACUUACAUUUGUUUAAUUCCGAAGAAGGACGGAGCUAAACGGGCAGAUGAUUAUCAACCUAUAAGCCUGCUGAACGGAAUUCAGAAGAUCCUAUCCAAGGUUUUAGCCAAUCGAUUGGAGAUGGUUAUGGGAGAUCUGAUAUCCCCCACCCAAUCGGCUUUCUUGAAGGGAAGAAAUAUCACUGAUGCUUUCGCAACGGUUCGUGAGCUGAUCGGCUGGGGGAGUAAGCAGGAAGCUGAGGGAGUCGGGGUAAAAGUAGAUUUUGAGAAGGCAUACGACAGAAUUUACUGGCCGUUUCUUCUUCGCAUUUUAGACUGGUAGGGCUUCGAUGAUAAAUGGUGCAACUGGAUCAAACUUUGUGUGUCCAACGCUAAGGUCGCUGUUUUAGUUAAUGGCGUACCAACCAAGUGGAUAAAGACAAAGAGGGGGGUUCGGCAAGGCGACCCACUCUCUCCCUUCAUCUUUUUACUCGUAGCAGAGUGUCUGGCCUGACUGACAAAAGAGGCAAUCUCCAACAAUCUUAUUAACGACAUUGGCCAUUCUGAGGCAUCCAGGGUUUCCAUUAUCCAAUUCGCCGAUGACACUUUUUUCUUCUGUGUGGCCAAGAAGAGAUGCAUGCGAAAUCUGAAAUUUCUAUGGCAACUUUUCGAGUGGGCAUCCGGAAUGAAGGUCAACAAGGAGAAAUCGGAACUAUACUAUACUGGUCUGGUGGAAGGAAAAGCGAGUAGGCUGGCACACAUACUAGGUUGUAAACUCGGUAACUUACCCACCAGAUAUUUAGGCCUGCCGUUGGCAACAAGACCCCCGUCCAAGGAGACUUGGAGGGAAAUCAUCCACAAGGUUCAACGUAGAAUUGACGAUUGGCAAGCAAAACUUCUAUCACGAAGGGGUAGACUUAUCCUAAUAAACACCGUUCUCACUAAUCUACCUCUUUAUUUUCUUGCUGUGUUCAAGACACCCAAAUGGGUUAUCAAACGCAUUGAGGCUCUGCAUAGAGAUUUCUUCUGGAGGGGAGGAUCCACUUCACCCGGUAAGGGAUGUCUUAUUUCCUGGAAGAGCGUCUGCAGGAGCAAGAAAGAGGAGGCCUUGGUGUCCUUGAUUUAAUUUAUACUAUAAUUUGAGAUUGCUUUUGGUCAUUCGUGUCAUAAUUUGCUACUCUUUUCAUCUUUAACCUAAGAAAAACUCACAUGUUAUGGGUCUUUCUAUAUUUCUUUUUAUGUUAUUUCACCUACAUCUACUAGAUCUCAUCCUAAGACGUAAUUAACACAUUGAUCCCUCAUUCUCCAACCAAAUUAAGGUGUUACAUGCCGAUACCAAAUUAAAAAGCUAAUUUUUAAACACAUUUUUUAGAACAUUCGUUUCAAAUCAGAAAAGAUUAUUUCAGGAACUAGGUGUACCACAUCUUAAUAUAACUAUCAUGAGGGCUUAAAAAAUAAAAUCUAAUUUAUAAAAUUUAUUCUGUAAUAUUUUCUUUUCGUUAUUUCCAAAUUAAAAUAAAACUUAUCAAUAUACAUAUAUAAUACAAAAGGAAUUUAUAUAUAAAACCUACAAAUUUUGAAAGUCCAUUGCCUUGACAAUAGAUAUUUUGAAAAAUCCCCACCAUAUACAAUUAAUAUAAUUUGGUUCACAAGAAAUAUGUGUUCAAAAUUUAUAAUUUCAUAUGAACAAAUAUAUUUACUAAAUUAAUUUUAAUUUUAAGAUCUAACUAAUAGAAAUUUUAAAAAUAUGGUGAAUAAAAUAAAUAAAUACACCUGGUGUAACGAUAAUUAUUGUACUUAAAAAAAUUGUCUUUCUCAAAGAUGAUGAUGGUUUUUAAAAUUUCAAAACAUAUGCAUGCAUUGGUAGCGUUUGGUUCGAGUAUAAGUAAGAACUAGCUAUUACAGGGAUGGGUACAAGUAUGGGGAUAAAAAAAAUAGUGUUUGGAUGAAAAUUGAGUUAUUUUCGGGGAUAAGAAAAAUAACGUGUGGAUAGAUAAUAUGGAAUAAGAAAAAUAGUCGAUAGUUAUAUAUAGAAAAUGGAGGUGUUGGUGGGGAUAGUUAUAUCCGGUUAUUAUAGGUAAUCGAGAACUACUAUUUUCAGAUAAAAAAUUAGCGUUUGGGUAUAAAGGAGAGGUUAUUCCGCCCCUUAUCCCCAAUCCAAACUGUGCGGGUGGAAUAAGAACAAAUUAAGCAUUAUCCUUGUACUAUAUAUUAAUCCAACUUAGUGGGCAUAGUGACAAGCCACUACCUGCCAAUCCAACUUUCACUAAUCUAAAGAAAAUAAUGUCAAUAUUUUCAUUUACGCGUACGAUAGAGAUGUGAUAGUUAUACAUCUCAAAAUGAGGUGUAUAAUAUAUACCAUAGUUAGUUAAUUCGGAUUCGGCAAAAAUUCGGUACGGGUAUAAUUCGGAUAAAAUUCGUCUUUUAAUUUUUAAAUUCGUUAAAAAAUACGGCUAAAAAACGGAUUCGGUAAUUAUUCGGAUACGUGAUUUAUACGGGUAUUAUACGUUCAUCAAUUAAAAAUUCGGGAUCAAAAAUUCGGCUAUAUUUUAAAUAUAUAAUAAUUAAUAUACUAUAUAUAUUAUUAUUAUAAUUUUAUAAUAUAAAUUAAAUAUAUUCAUAUAUUAAUAAUAAAUAUAUAUUAAUAAUAUAUAAGAUUUAUAUANCACUGUGGACCUCCCCUCAUGCGGUCCACGAGGUGGAAAUGGCCUCGUGGACCGCGUGCACCAUCCAUGUCUUAUGAGCCCCGAUUUUUUUCCUGUUCAUCUUCUUUUUUUCUGCCGAGGCGAGACGGGAUCCGCAGCGUUGCUCUCGGCACCGGCGAGGGCGGCGGAGGACGACGACGACGUGAGCGGCGACGAGACAGGAUCCGCAGCCGUGGCCCUUGCUCCCGGCGCCGGCGAGGGCGGCGGAGGACGACGACGACGCGAGCGGCGACGACGCGACCCUCAGCCGAUCGCCGAUUUUUUGGGCGAAUUAUUCGCGAAUCGCGAAUAAUUCGCGAAUAAUUAUUUUUGAGGAAAAAAUCGCGUUUUUUUUCUAAUUUUUUGAAAAAAUACGGUACGCCCCGUUUAAUUCGUAUUUUUAAAAGUACGCAAAUUAUUCGCGUAUUAAUCGCGAAUUAACUAACUAGGAUAUAUACCCACUUAUUUAAUGGAUGAGACUACAUAUUUGAAGAUUUUAUGUGACAGGUGAAAAAAGCUCACUCAUUAGAUUAGAGAGGAAUACAAUAUAAAUUUCUUAUGGAAGUAUAUGAGUAGUAUUGCUCGUGAAUAAAAUGUGACUAGCUAAUCGGAUGAUUUUUAAAAUUUUAAAAAUAUAUUUUUGUAAUGAUGUAGGAUGAAAAUUAUAUUCUUCUGUGAUUUUCUAAAUUUGACAAUAAGUACAGCAGCAUUUCCCUUGCACUUAUAUAUUAAUCCAACUUAUUGGGAAUAGUGACAAGCUACUACCUACAGCAUCAAGUCAUUUUACUUUUUCACACUCCUAAAUCCUAGUUUUAUUAUCCUAAUUAAUAAUCAUUUAAACGAUAUUAUUGAUUUGCUACUUAAUUAGGCCCCCCCCGUAUUUUGAUUGUACGGGAAAUACGGCGACAGCUACGAGACGUGAUGCAUUCAGCCGGUUCCGAGCGGUCGCAUAGUUGCUCGUCGCGAUGCGACUUCGCUCAUUUCCUGCAAUAUUAUCCGGUGCACCCAGUGCAUCCUAAUAUAUAUAUAUAUAUAUAUAUAUAUAAUUUGACUAGAAAUAACUUCUCAAUAGUAAAUGGCAUUUACUAACAUCGAGUUGUUUUCAUGAAGACUUACCAAAUGACCGAUUAGCGUCUCCGUUGAACUAUACGAUCUAUACCACUUAAAUUGUUUAGAAUACAAAUUUUCAAAUCAUUUCACAUCAUUCCUAAGAUCAAAGGGUUCAAAAUUUAUAUUUUAAUAGGCAGAUAAGAGACGUUUUCUUCGUUUAACCGUGAAAGAUAUCCAAAAUCAAUUGAAUUUCUUUUAGAAAAUUCUUUAAACUAUUUAAAACAAGAUCUAUAACCUUGAUCUUGAUUAAAUCCUAUCAUCAUUAUUUAAAGAUAUUCCAUUUUCAACCAUUCAAUUUUCUUUCACUAAGAUGUAACAGACAAUACGGAAGUUGCAUGACAAUUUAUUCUAGAUAGUUUAAAUGGUUUAGAAUUAUAUUUAACGAGCAAGAUGUAAUUUAGAACUCUAAUCCAUCCAAAACAACUCGAUAGUAAAAUCUACCUUACAUCGAAGUUAAUUUAGCUCAACUCUAUGGGCGUUUUCGUUAGAAUCCGAGUCGAAUCGAUCGUAAUCAUAAAUCAAGAUAAGCUGGAAUCGGGAAUCGAAUACUCAUCUACUCUAAUUAAUGUUUGUUCAACACACUGAAUCGAAUAUCGAAAUAAAUCAUUCCCAUUCAGUAUUUGUGCAGUUUAUAUAAAAAACUAAUCAAUUAAUAUACUAGCAUUACUUUAUAAUUAGUUAAUUUAAAUCACAAUUAAAAAUUAAUAUUAAAAAUUAUACUAAAAUUUUGAAAUUAAUGUUCAAAAUUUACACCUCUAAUUUUUUUUUAAAAAAAAUAUAACUUGAUUGAGUGAUAAUCAAAAUAUGAAACUAAUAUUUUAAUUAUCUUUCACAUCAAACUUAAAAUACAAUUUAAAAUUUAAUUUAAUCCAAAAUUUAAUUUAAUUUAUAUAAUUGAAUAAAAACUUAAAUAUAAAUUAAAUUUAUUUAAAUUCAAAUUCAUAAGUUAGAUUCGAAUACUUAUUAAAUUUUAAUUUUUAAAUUAGGUUUAAAUAAAAUUUCAAAAUUAUAUAUUUAAUUAUUUAAAUUUAACUCAUAUUUUAUUAAAAAAUUAAAAAAAAUAAAAUUUAAUACCGAAUAAAUAUUCAUUUCCGUUUCGAUCAACUUCAAUCCGGCCUCCUCAGGCCGGAAUUGAAAAAUGAGUGAUUGUGGGAUCCAAUUUCACUCGGAAAUCGAAUCCGGAAAUGGGGGAACCCCUUUCCCGCGACAACAAACACCCACAAAAGGAUUCACCAUCAUUCCGAUUUCGAUUCCAGGGUGAAAAAAAAACGAACACAAACACGCCAUAUAAUAUAUUAUAUAUAUAUAUAAUAUAUAUAUAUUAAGCGGAAUAAAAUGGAUAUUGUUAUACAUACGUACGAAUAAACAUGGUGCAUGUAAUAAUUUCUCUCGUCACAUGCCACUGUUCACCACAUGCCUUACGUACGUACAAUUAUUAUCGGUACGUACAAUUAUUAUCGUGUGAACUCUUCCCCAGUCCCCCCCUGUCCUCUCCACACGACCCGCGUGGGAUCGACCUCUCCUCCCCCCCAACUCCAACAACCACCACCUCUUCCCUCACUAUAUAUACUCCUCCUCCUCACCACCCUUCCCUCCCACACUCAAAAACCUAUAUAUAUAUAACGUUCUAACCCUUCCUAUAUAUUAUAUACAUAUUCAUAUACAUACAACAUCUGCAUUUGUAACAUUAUAAUCAACGUACACUAAUACACACGCACAUUGAAUUAAAAUAUGGGUAGCCUCCACACCGACGUCGUGCUCGAAGCGAACAACAACAACGGUGCGUUCGGCGCAAACAACCCUCUGGAGCCGGAGGAGUUCCGGCGACAGGCGCACGUGAUGGUGGACUUCCUGGCCGACUACUACCGCGACGUGGGGUCGUACCCGGUGCGCAGCCAGGUGGAGCCCGGGUACCUGAGCAAGGUCCUGCCCGGGUCGGCCCCCAACCAGCCGGAGUCGCUGGACGCCAUCCUGCGGGACGUCCGCGAGCACAUCGUCCCGGGGCUCACGCACUGGCAGAGCCCCAGCUACUUCGCCUACUUCCCCUCCAGCGGCAGCACCGCCGGGUUCCUCGGCGAGAUGCUCAGCACGGGCUUCAACGUCGUCGGCUUCAACUGGAUGUCGUCGCCCGCCGCCACCGAGCUCGAGAGCAUCGUCAUGGACUGGCUCGGCGGCAUGCUCGCCCUCCCCAGGCCCUUCCUCUUCUCCGGCGGCGGCGGCGGGGUCCUGCAGGGCACCACCUGCGAGGCCAUCCUCUGCACGCUCACCGCCGCCCGGGACCGGAUGCUGGGCAGGGUCGGACGGGAGCACAUCGGGAGGCUCGUCGUCUACGGCUCCGACCAGACCCACUGCGCGCUGCAGAAGGCGGCCCAGAUCGCCGGCAUCCACCCGGCGAACUUCCGCGCGGUGAAGACGCGCCGGGAGGACCACUUCGGGCUGUCGCCCGCGGAGCUGCGCAGGGCCGCGGACGCCGACGAGGCCGCGGGGCUGAUCCCGCUGUUCCUGUGCGCGACGGUCGGGACGACGUCGUCGACGGCGGUGGACCCGCUCCCGGGGCUCUGCGCGGCGGCGGCGGAGAAGGGGAUGUGGGUGCACGUCGACGCGGCCUACGCGGGGAGCGCGUGCAUCUGCCCCGAGUUCCGGGGGUUCAUCGACGGCGUGGAGGGCGCCGACUCGUUCAGCCUCAACGCGCACAAGUGGUUCUUCACGACCCUCGACUGCUGCUGCCUCUGGGUGAAGCGCCCCGACGCGCUGGUCCGAGCGCUGUCGACCAACCCCGAGUACCUGCGCAACAAGGCCACGGAGUCCAGGAGCGUCGUCGACUACAAGGACUGGCAGAUCGCGCUGAGCCGCCGCUUCCGCGCGCUGAAGCUGUGGAUGGUGCUGCGCAGCUACGGCGUCGCCAACCUCCGCAACUUCCUGCGCGGCCACGUCCGGAUGGCCAAGGACUUCGAGGCCAUGGUCGCCGCCGACGCCCGCUUCGAAGUCGUCGUGCCCAGGUACUUCGCGAUGGUCUGCUUCCGCCUCCUCCUCCCCUCGCCCAACGCCGCCGGCGAUGAGACGGCGGCGAACGAGCUCAACCGGAGGCUGCUGGAGGCGGCGAACGCGUCGGGGAGGGUGUACAUGACGCACGCCGUCGUCGGAGGGGUCUACCUCAUACGCUUCGCCGUCGGCGCCACGCUGACGGAGGAGUGGCACGUGCGGGCGGCGUGGAAGGUUGUGGUGGAGCACGCGGAGGAGCUGCUCAAGGAGCUCUGCGUAUGAAUGAAUAUAUAUGAUGCGAUCCAUCCAACAAUUAAGCCACGUGCAUGCAUGCACGCAUUUCGCACACUUAUGAAUGAGCUUGGUAAAUAAUUUGUUGUUUUUCUUAUUAUUAAUUAGUUAUUAUUUGCGCAGGUAAUUUUGGGGUUGUGAUCACAUGUUGGUGGUUCGUUUGGGAGAGGGUGCAUGAGAGUUCCAGGUUUUGAGAUUUUUUCUUUUUUUUUUUCGAUUGUGUGUGCCAAGCUAGUUGAUGUCUACAGUUAAUACAUGAUUCAUUUAUGUAAUGAAUUAAGUUAUCAAUCAAAUAUUCUGGAUCAUUUAGUAAGGUAAAAAUAAUUGCUAUUUUUACAAGCAAUUUCUACAAUAAUUUAUAACAUUUAAAAUGUAGUGCCCUUAGACUUUAUUCUGUAAUUUUCUUUACUAAUUAAAUAUGAUCAGAUAAGAAAAUCAUUUCAAGCCUUUUAGAUGUUUGCUACAAAUUUUAUUAUAACUAAGCCAUUUAAAUAGUUGUUCGGAAUUUUAUAGACGUUGCUUUGCACGAGAAAGUCUUUUCAAUCACAAUAUUUCUCACACGCGCUACAUAAAAACACAAACAACUUGUUUUUAAAAUAAAUUAUUUUGAUAUAAAAUUAUUAUACUAUUAUUGCUGAUUACAUUUUCUUCUAUCUUAUGUGUUGUAAUGUGGAAGAUUUUUGUGUUCCGGACACCUGCUGGUUUAACCUUUCAUCUGAAAUACUAACCACUCUAAAACAAUGCUAAUUUGGGGCCGUUGGCCUAAUUGAGAAGCGUAUUCAACAUUAAUUAUUAAUUAAUUCAUAUGAUAUGCCUUUUCUGGAAAGAUGUGUAUAUUAAUUUUGAAUUCUCUCGAUCAUUAGAUAAAUAAUAUUAAAAAGUUAUAGAAUUUAAUUUUUUAUUGAUAUUGAAGCCCUGUCACCAAAAAUAUAUAAUGAGUCCCCUCGCAAGCACCCAUCACUUAGCACCAAUAAUACAUUCGUUAUCGACCGUUUCUAGCGCAAGUAGCAAAAAGUCUUGGUGGUUUGUACUCGAGAUCCAAGUUCGAAUUCUAGUUGAUUCACAUUUUCAAUUAAAUUUAUUUUUAAAUAAAAUAAACGAAGCGAGUAGCAUGCUAUCUUUCUCUCAAAAUAAUAAUAAUAAUAAUACAUUCGUUGGAUCUGUUCCAUUGGCCCCAAAUAUUAUAUUACGUUUAUUACUAGAAUUACUUCUAGUAAUAAUUAACUAGCCUUACAUACUUGUGCUGUGUAAAUGGAUUAUUCAUCCAAUGUGGAUCUAAAUUGGGGUGUCACAUUAAUAUUUCCAAAUUACCCUAAACUAAGAUGUGUUAGCUAUAUAUAGGUUGAACCACUGCGAAGUAGUAGUCAUCUUACAAUGUGAUACUUAACUAGAAACCGAAAAGAGUAGGGAUCGAUGCAAAUAUGGUAGAUCUGAGAGUGAGCCCACCUCCUGCCCUACCAAUAUUGAAUCUGCUCCUACCAAUAUUGAAUCUGCUCGAAUCUGCCCGCAUCCCGCUCCGCCUCUAUAACGGCGUGAAAUAUAGAGUUCGACUACGUACUAUCCUUUUAAGAAGAUAGAAAUUUUUAUCCUAUCAGACCAUUUUGGAUGAUCGAGACUUCAAAUUGAUAAUCGGCAUCAUUUAAAUUGAUCUAUACUAUUAGAAAUAUUUAGAAACUGAAUUUUAUAAUUUUUAAAAAUUAUUAUCAAGUCCAUCGAAUAAUCAAAAAAUAAACGGUCAAAAAUAGAUCAUCUUCUGAAAAUAGAGGUUAGCCUUUCUUAAUUUAAGAUCGGAGUUAUUAAACAUUAUCUAAAUAGUAUAAAGACUUUCUAUCAAAAAUUUUAUUGGUUUAGAUUACUCAACAUCGUUAAACAAACAAACGACUCAUAUAGGUCGUCAAGAACUAUCAAUUUUUCAAUCCAUUGAUCACAUAUAUAAAUAAAUUUUAAAAUUUAUAAAAUUUAGUUCUUAGAUAAUUCAAAAAUACUAGAUCAACUUCAACGGUCCCAUCAUCGAUUUAGAAUUUUGUCAUAAAGAACGUUUUGAUAGGACAGAUGUCCCUAUCCUCCUAAAAGGAUGACAGCUGGGUUCUGAAAUAUUUGUCUCAUAAUCCAUCCCGACUAAAGUUCGACUUCUAGCCAGCUCCUCGAAAUCACUCAGCCAACCAAAAAUUUUAUUUAUUUUUUAAAUAUAAAUAAAAUAAAUUAAAAUAAAAUUUAAAGAUAACAAAUUAAAUUAUCAUGGAAACAACUCUCUCUUAAAUCAAAUAUAUUUUAAAAUGAAUUAACAUUUAAAACUUAAAUAAUAUUUAUAAAGUUAAAAUUAUUUUAUAAAUUAAAUAAUAUUUAUAAAAUAUUAUUUAAUUUAUUGGUGCCCAUUUACAUUCUCAUUUGGAACGGAUCGGGCGAGAGCUCCGCCAGCCAGAAUCCAUUUGCGACCCUACUGAAAAGAAUCCAUAGUUAAAUUAUUAGAGUGCAAAAUUUUGAUUUCGAUUUCCGGUUUCGGAUUCAGGUUACAACGCCAAAUUUUGCCUUACCACGUUAAUAUACUCGGAUCCCUUUUACUAACCUAUCUUAAUUUGUGAUUAGGCCUGCUACUUCCUGAGUUGGGUUCUAAAGUUGGUUAAGGCAGAAUUGGUUCUCGGUUUCAAAUCCUAAGUUUUACGUAUAAGUCUAUGUUUUGGAUUGUGAAGAGAUUGCGUUACGUGAUGUGCGAAAGCGUAAUAAAAAAAAAUAUAUUCUGUUUGUUUUCGUACGUGAUAUCACUUUUUGCAUGUCGCAAUAAAUCAGUAAAAUAGGUUUCAAUAUAAAAAUUCAAUAAUCAAAUAUGGUAUGCGGGCCCAAUCCAAAAUGAAUUUGACUAUUUUAUGGGCCGGCUUCUGGAUAAUGGGCCAUAAUGGCCCAUUUGUACCUGUACCCAAAGAUUAAUUAAUCUUAAUUAUAACAAAACAAAAAUCCAAAUUAACGAUUAAAUCUCGCAUACACCGCGCAAUCGGAGGACUAAAUUUAUAUAUGAGCAAUACUACUAGUACAACCUAAAGUGAGAAUACAUUUUGCACCCUUUUUAUCCAAGGGCCGUCAUUUUCUAUUUAUCACAUCAAAUUUUUUUUUACUAAAAUAUAUUUUAGUUUUUUUUUAAUCUUAGGGGCUGUUUGGUUGUACGCAUUUGCAACUGCAGUGCAGUUGCAAAUGCGUGCAGCCACAAUUCCUUUGUUUGGUUUAGUGUAGUUGAGUUCAAUUGCUGCAGUUCCAACUGCACAAGAAGGUCCAAAUGCUGCAGUUGGAACUACAUCCAAAUUGGUCGUAGUUCCAACUGCAGCAGUUGGUGAGGGAUAGGAUCACCCACAAAUUAACAAUAAUAAAUAAAUAAAUAAAUAGCUAAAUAAAUAAAUAAUAUAUGUAUAUAGGUAAAUAAAAAUACUUAUAAAUAAACUCAUACUAAUAAAAUUUUUUAGACAAUACAAGCUUUGUGCAAAAAAUUAAUUUUUUUAAAUUUAUUUUAUUUAAAAUAUAAAUAUAGUUUUUUUAAAAAAAUUUUAUAGAAUGUGAUCGUGUAUGUUAAUUUAAUAAGUUUUAAUUAAUUAUAAUUAUUAAAUUUGAUAAAAAAAAUGAGAGAAUCGUUUAAAUUUUUAAAGUUUGAUUUACAUAUUAAAAUUAAAUAAAUUAAAAAUUUUAAAUGUGUCGAUUAAUAAGUUGAAGAAUUAUUGAAAAAUAUAAAAAUAUUAUAUAUAUCUACUUAUUUAUUUAUAAAUAGUAAAUUUAAAUAAUUAAUAAAUUUAUACAAUUAUUUUAUGUUUAGUCACCACUCUAUCUGAAGAAGUGACAAAAUUCAUAAAUACAACUAUCAGCUUCAUAUUACCAAACAGAAGAAAUGUAACUGCAGCAGUUGCAAUUGCGUAAAACCAAACAGACUAGGUAUAGUUACAACUGCAGCAUUUGCAAUUGCAUGUAUUUUCAACUACACUGUUUCUGUAACUACAUCCAACCAAACGGCCCCUUAGGGUGGGAGUGUAAGAUAUACACCUUCCUCUGGAAUGUACAAAUGAAAUUUUUCUUUACACAUAUAUAUCUCUGCAAAAGUUUGUUGGAAUAUUUAUAAUAGUUUAGAGAUUAGAAGAACUAAUAUGCAAUAUUCUAAUUUUGCAGGGUUAUAUUUUUAAUUCUCUAUCUAUAUAUACACUUAUUUAUAUCUGUAUGCAUUCUUUGCAUUUAACCCUUAAAGCCACGCUUUGCGUCGUCGGCGUUCUUAAUUAGUUCAAUUGUGAGGAUCAUCAACAAAGGUAAAUAAUAAUAAUAAUAAUAAUAAAAACUCUAUGCAUAUUUUGUGGUUUCCUUUAUUUGAUGUAGAGAUGUUUUUUGCAUAUAUAAUUGUAAAAACCUAGCUUUGAAUUCUAGGAUCUUAGCUCUUUUGUUUUUUUGUUUUUCUUUUUUUUUCAAUGGAUCAUUUCCUAUCGGUUUGAUCUUUUCAAUCUAGAUUUCUUUUUCUCACGUCUUUCAUGUCUGGCGUAUAUUUAUAUCUAUUAUUUUGUUGAUUGUUUCUUUUUCUCUCCUACAAGUGCACGUGGUAUGAUUUAUUUGAUCUUCAUCAUACACAUGACGUCAAGAUCAGUCGUGUAGUAGGUAAUUAAAUUUUUAAAAAUUGAAUGAUGUAGACACUUGGCAUACCAUCUCUUUUAUAUUUUCCAAAUGCUUAAACUGAUAGAUUAUUAGUCGAAAUUACGAUUUCACUGUAAACAAAGAUAGUAUUUAGAUCAAGUCAAAGUAAGGAUUCUAUUCCCUGAAGGAUCUUUUCACGUACAAAUGUUCUAUCGCAUGAUUUUCUGCAUUUUUAAUAUGUUUCUAUUUACGAUUUAAAUUCAAAUUAGUGUUUGCGCUAUUUGUCGAUAAAAGAGGAAACAUUUGUCUCAUGAUUCUAUUGUAGCAUGUAUUAGGAUUUGGAUUCAAAUAACAGUUCGAACUUAUGUUAUUCGACGAAUUCGUAAUCCACAUCGUAAAUCAAAUCAUUUUUAGCAAAUGAGAGUGAUAGGUAAAGCCUAAAUGCUCAUUUACGGAUUCUGAAUCAUUCUAACUUUUACGAAUCGCCUCUUUCAUAUAUAGAUUACUUCUAAGACAAGUUAAAUUUCGUAAGCCUCAUUUCGACAGUAAGACGAAGUAUUGCCAUACAAUCUUGCGAGGCUCCGACAAUGAAUCUGAGUUUGUUUCCGCUGACUUUUUCUGUCAGUUUACAACAAUGUUUGCUAAGUUUUUCACUCCCUGAUGAGUUUUAGUUCUUUUAAAAGAUCUUUGUUGUAAAUAUUAAGGAAGUAUACUCUCAAACAACAUUGUGCUACAUCAAUUUUUGCAUUGUAGAGAUAUGAAUGAAUCAUAGCACACCAAUUCAUCGAAGAAUAGAUAUAACAUGAACUCAUUUUAUACCAACAAUUGUAAUUUAUGUUUCUUCCAGGAUGUCGAGCAUUACUCUCUCGACGGCUAUUUUCACUCCGAAAGGCGGCAUCAAAUCGCAAAGCCUCUCUAUUCUGCCAAGCAUUUCUACCUCCAUUGGCUUCAAAAGUGCUUUUCCAGAAGCACUUCUCUUAAAAUCAUCUAAAUGCUUCAGGACAACUAUGAUGGCCACCUACAAAGUGAAGCUGAUCGAUCCGAAAGGGCAGGAGCAGGUGUUCGACGCCCCAGACGAUGCCUACAUUCUCGACUCGGCUGAAAUGGCCGGCGCCGACAUGCCGUUCUCGUGUCGCGCUGGCACGUGCUCUACCUGCGCGGGGCGGAUCGAUUCGGGCAAGGUGGACCAGUCGGAAGGGUCGUUCCUCGACGACUCGCACAAGGAGAAAGGAUAUGUUCUCACCUGCAUCUCCUACCCGAGAUCGGAUUGCGUGAUUCGCACUCACAAGGAGAGUGAGCUCUUCUAAGUUCUACUGCUACUGUUGCUUUGAAUUCAUUCGGAGCUAACUUAGUCUCUUAUUUUGAAGUUUCCUGCAGCAUUUUUUGUUGAUUGUGUAGUGAUUUUUCUCCUGGAAAUGGUUAUGGCAAUUGGAUGAAUAAUAGUAUGUGCAGUUCCAAGUGCACAUACAUGCAUGUAGGUUGAAUUAAACCCUACUCUUUUCUAAUAAGCCAUUUAACUUUGCUGAUCCAUUUCAACUGUUAUAUAAUGUUUAUUUUUUGCUGGUUUAUUUUUCCCUUGUUGUUAGAUACUACUUUUUCUUAGGGAAAUUUUAGGUACUACUUGGUCAUGGUGGAGUUGUUGAGAAAUAUUUGUAUUUUACAGUGUUUCAAAGUAGUAUAACAAUUUCAAUCUCUGAAAUUUGUUCUGUAUAACAAUUAAGUAAUUUGUCAAGCUAUAUAUUUUGCUUAACAUUAAUGUUAACAUGGCUUCUUUUAUUAAACUUCAUAUGUUACCUCAAGUUAAUUUUUAUGUUAAAAAGAGGAAAGUUAGACAAUAAUUAUAACAUUAUGUUAUAUAGUGAAAAAUUUUGAUUUGCUCAUGAAAUAUAAAUGGAAAGUGAAAAAUUAUGUUAUACCAAACUAUUAAUAGUAUAGUAGUCUCGUUAUAUAUACAUAUAGUAUAGACAACUUUUUAUUUUUUUUCAGAUGUAUAGCUCAUAGAAUAUAAAUAGGUGCCAUUGUUUUUUAACACAAAUUACAAAUAAGAAUUUAAAAGCCAUAAAAAAGAAUUAUAGUGAUAGAAACACAUAAAUUGAUGCAUCUGGUGAACAUGUUGCAUAUAUAAAGUAUGUUUGUUAUGAUUUAUUUAUUUAUUAUUACGGUGACGAAUGUAGUGAAAUUACACUACAACAGAAUUAGGUUACAGGGACACAUGUUUGGGACACUUUUGAGUAAGUGUCCCAUUUAUCCUAAAACUUAAAAAAUCAUCUACUAAUGCCUUAAUAUAAGGCCCAAUCCAACCAAAAAUAAAAGAUUACUCUACUCAACCCACCACACCCAGUCCAUUUGGCCCGAUUACAAACAGAAAAAAAAAGAAAAGAAAAAUCAAUUAUCAUCUUUUCUUCUCUUUUCACUCAAUCCACUAAAAUUUUAGACGAAGAGCCUUUCCUGUCGUCCUCCUCCGCCACCGCAGCCAACGAGAUAGAGUUUUGGCGGUUGCUAAAUGCUUAAAUAAGUGUUGGUAAAUUAGCAGCACUCUUUUAGAUUAUAGCGACACUCUUUAACUGUCACUAUAUACCUAGCGACCCCACAUAUAGCAACACUUUUAAAAAGUGUCGGUAAUUUUAGCUAGCAGCACUUUUUUGACAUGUACCGACAUUUAAAAGUGUCGCUAUAGACCGUUUUUGUUGUAGUGUUAUGAUCUUUCUGGUACAAGCAUAGUUAGUUAAUUCGGAUUCGGCAAAAAUUCGGUACGGGUAUAAUACGUAUAAAAUUUAUUUUCUAAUUUUUAAAUUCGUUGAAAAAUUCGGCUUAAAAAACAGAUUUGGUGUAAAAUAUAAAAUAUAAAAUAUAAAAUAUAAGAUAAUAUAUAUUUAAAAAUAAAAUUAUAAUUUUUUUAUUCAUAUUUUCAAUUAUUCAGUAAUAAUUUGCGAAUUAUUCGUGAAUUAUUCGGCUAGAUUAAAAAUUCGCGAAUAAUUCUCCUUCUUUGAAAAAAAUUCGUAAACGGACCGUUUAAUUCAAAUUUUCAAUAAUUCACGAAUAAUUUACGAAUAAUUCGCGAAUUAACUAACUAGGGUUACAAGUAGCACAACUGAAAAGCAACUCUGAGAUUAAUUGACAUGCUUGGAAUCUGUUUGCUAAUUGUUUUGUCCUUCACAAACCAAAAAGAACAAGUUUCUGAGUGAUAGCUUAUGCAUUAUAUGAGAUUUUUUUCCAUCUUUUAUUUUUUUAUUUUUUGUAACUGCAAACUAAAAGUUUGAUUUCAGCUUUUCAGAAGGUUUUGAUAAUCAUAAUUUAGUAUGUGUCAUCUAUAGAGCGAUCUAUUUUAUUCCAAAAAAUUAACUUGAUGAUUGAAUGGGGUCGUCUUUUUUAGCAUUUAAUCAUACUUCUUAUCUAUCAAAGACUAUGAUUUGUUUUACUACACAAAACCGAUAUGCGGAAUAAAAUAUUCAUGUGUAUAGAUAGGGCCUUAAUUCUUGAUAUUAUCUUGUACAAUAUAUAUCAGAGUUAGGGCAAAAUAUAAGUCUUUGGUAGAUAAGAAGUAUUCAUGUGUAUAGAUAGGGCCUUAAUUCUUGAUAUUAUCUUGUACAAUAUAUAUCAGAGUUAGGGCAAAAUAUAAGUCUUUGGUGUAACAUACUUAUUGUCCGAGUUAAAGCAAAAUUGUUAUAUAAUUUCAAACUGAUCUGAAUAACACACUUCAAAAUUGGGUUUGAUCUUCAAAAUUUUAAAAUCAUACAUAGAUUCAAAUCUGUGACCUUAUGGCACUACAACAGAAUUAGAUUAUAGGGACACAUGUUUGGGACACUUUUGAGUAAGUGUCUCAUUUAUGCUAAAACUUAAAAACACAUAUACUAAUGCCUAAAUAUAAAGCCCAAUCCAACCAAAAAUAAAAGAUUACUCUACUCAACCCACCACAUCCAGUCCAUUUAGCCCGAUUACAAACAGAAAAGAAAAAAAAAAAAGAAAAAUCAAUUACCAUCUUUUCUUCUCUCUUCACUCAAUCCACUGAAAUUCUAGACGAAGAGCCUUUACUGUCGUCCUCCUCCGCCACCGCAGCCAACGAGAUAGAGUUUCGGCGGUUGCUAAAUGCUUAAAUAAGUGUUGGUAAAUUAGCAGCACACUUUUAGGUUAUAGCGACACUCUUUAACUGUCACUAUAUACCUAGCGACCCCACAUAUAGCAACACUUUUUAAAAGUGUCGGUAAUUUUAGCUAGCAGCACUUUUUUGACAUGUACCUAUAUUUAAAAGUGUCGCUAUAGACCGUUUUUGUUGUAGUGUGGGAGGUACUGAGACAUCUAAUAACUAUGACACUAAUGCCUUAAUUAGUGACUACUAUUAUGUUUUUCCCUUUUUUUAUUUUAUUUUUUUUCUUUAUCUUGUGUUUCAAAACCUACACAAAGACCUCGACAAGAAUAUAUUCUAUACUGAGGGAUUGUCUCUUGGUCUGGUGUUAGGCUCACAUGGAAAGCAUCCACCACUUUUUUAUUUUAUUUUAUUUUAUUAAAUUUUUGAGGGGGAUAAAAAUCUAUGGAUUUUUCCUCUUCAAUUAUUCAUUUUCGAUUGAAAUCCUUUCAUCGUCUAAUUUUUAUGAUUUGUAUUUUUAUACUUAAGUAAGUUAAAAUUUUGACUAAAUUUAAUUACUAAUUUCACUAUUUAUUAAUUAAUAUAUUAAAUUAUUAAUUGAAUUAUUAAUUGAUUUAGUUUUAUUUUUUCAAAAGUGAUUAAGUUAGUUAUUAAAUUUGAUGAGAUUCUUAAAUUUUUUUGACUAAGCGUACAGUGUACCAAUAUCAUUUCUCUCUACACCUUAUAAAACUUAAAUAAUUGCAAUAAAUUAAAAUUGCAUGCACGAGUGAGAUUAAUUCUUAUAACUCGUGUGAACCCUCACUUAGUCAAACCACACAUUCCUCAGUUUAAAAAACACCACUUGGAAGUAAAAAAAGAAAAAAGAAAAGCAAAUGACCAUUUCACAUUCGAUUUUUUUUUUUUCAAAAAGUCAAAUUGACCAAGCUGUUCUUGCCCAACAGGUGUUUGAAAAAUGGGUUAAUUGCACGCAGCUCUCUGUAAACAUAUCGAAUAGUAGAUAUAUUCCUACAAAGUUCAUAUUUUUUAUAUUUAUCCAUAUAAAAGUUCUAACAUUUUAAAAUAUAUAACUGCUGUUAGGAUUCGUUAUAAAACUAUAAUUAACCAUAUAAUCUCGAUUAGUAAAUGAUGUAAAUUGACUUUUUUAUCCCUCUUAUAUUAUUUGUGAUGGGGUAGAAAGAAAGAACAUGGCCGUCGAAAAUUUUUGGAGGAUAUUUCUUCAUAAUUCUAACAAUUGAAACUUCUGAAGAGAUAUAUUUGUAAUGACAAAAUUGUCAUUUUACUUAUCUUUUAUUAAAAAAUAAAUAAUACUCUAACAGUAACAAAUCAAGAAAACAAAUAUGAAUAUUACUAGAUUUUUAUAGAAAUAAAUAUGAAAUAUUGAAUUUAUAAGAUAUCUUUGUCAUUCGAUAUAUAUGUUUACGGGCAGCUGCACGAAAUUAAUACUUGAAAAAUUAUCUAAAUAGUAAACUAUGUAGACAGAGUCAUUUCCUCUUAAAAUUACGAUUGUGCCCUCUAAGUUUAACGGGUCAGUAGGGAACUCGCCCGAGUCCAAAUGGAGCAGGUUAAUUUCGAGCCACUUAUAUUAAACCACCUCCCCCAAAUCCAAUUAAGACACUCGAGUCAUCUUGUUUGUUUUGAUUGUAUCUUCAAUUUGGUGCAUUAAUUAAUUGUACUAGGCGCACAAGUGCUUAACUGGUCCAGUCGACGGAGCUAUUGAGGGGCCCACAGUGGUCACGGCCCUUUCUAAAUUUUUUAAAAUUAUAUAAAAGUUCUUUAUAAUAAAAAUUAAAAUAUUAUAAAUUUUAAUUUUAAGGGGCCAAAUUAAAUUUUUUAAUAAAAUUUGUGUCUUAGUUUUUUUUCGAAUUUUUUGGUGCUUUCCUUUCAACUCUUACAGUCUUGUUUCUUUUUGAGCAUCUAACAAAUUUUUUUUCUUAUUAUCCGAGGUUGAAUUUUUUUUUCUAUCAAAUUUAAAUUUUGGCCCCCCGAAUUUUAAUUUCUGGCUUCGUUCCUGGGUCCAGUUGAUUCCUUGGGAAGAGGUUAGAAGUGGUGCGGUUCGAGUUGCAGGUGCGAGAGACUCUGGAUUUCUCCUAAUAAAAAAAAAAAAAAAUGGAGAAAUUGAAAAUGUACUGGCCAUGAAUUGAUUUUUUUUUAUGUAAUAACUAAAUAGGAGCAAGAACAAAAAAAAAAAAAANAAAAAAAAAAAAAAAAAAAAAAAAGUGACGCGGUGAUAAUUUAAAAACAAAUGGAGCUUAAAGAUAGUUCAUUUUGUUACCUAUCAAAUUAAUCUGAUGAAAAAUAAAAUUAUAUCAGAGUGUGAAUCUGAAUAAGAGAGUUUAUUCAAUGUUGAACAUAUAUACUAUUAUAAAUGAAAAUCCGAAGAAUUUGAUUUUGGGUAUAAGUUUUGUAUGUAUCUAACCAGAUUCAUAUAAAUCUUAAAACGCGGUAACAAUUAAAGCCCUUUGUAUCUCUACUCAAAAUAAUAUAUACCACACAUAACACUCAAUAAAUUCCACACGGGCUUACCAAUUCUCUCGCCAAAAAAAUACAAGUCAACUCGUAUAGAUUGAAGCCAAGUCAUGGGCUGUGACUUUGACUUUGACUUGUUCUCUCUCUCUCUCCACCACCACUCACCUAUACGGCUAUACUCCCAUUUCCAUUUCCAUGUACAUAAAAAUAUAACCAACCACAUCCUUAAUCCCUUGGCAAAAUAAGCUGUACACAAUUUAAUCACCUCCAACAAUUGAUGGCUGUGAGUUAUAGCUCAGAAGCCAUCCACCACCACCUCUACUUCCCCUCGGGCGACCGUCGCUCGCAUCUCCGGCGGCCCUGCGCCUCGUUUCGACCCCUUACUGCAGUCGUCGCAGCCACCGCAGCCGCCAAAGUCGGGCUGUCGCGGGCCGGAGACUAUCAACCAAUCUCAACUGCUAACACUCAGAACUACUUAUCUGACAUUCUCAAUCUGAACAUCAAGCAGUUCGACCUCACUGGCAACUGCUGUGACUUCCCCGAUGACGACGACAAUUGGUCGCGGCUCCUCGACCCCCUCGACCCGUCCCUCCGUGGCGAGAUCAUCAAAUACGGCGAGCUCGCGCAGGCGACGUACGACGCGUUCGACUGCGACCCCGAGUCGGAGAACUGCGGCAACUGCAUGUUCGACGGCAGCCGCUUCUUCGACGAGCUCGGCCUUGGCCACCACAGCUACGCUGUCACGCGCUACCUCUAUGCCACGUCCCAUGCCGACCUGCCCCCGUGGCUGCCCCGCUGGCUCCGGCGCUCGCUCCACGCCGACGCAUGGAGCCGCGACUCCAACUGGAUGGGCUUCGUCGCCGUGGGCCCCUGCCGCCCCCGCCGCCACCGCGACAUAGUCGUUGCGUGGCGCGGCACCAUCGUUCCCGCCGAGUGGUUUGAGGACUUGCACCGCAACCUUGAGCCGCUGCACCCAGCAUCGGUGGCGUCGGCGGCGCACGCCGGUGCCGCCGCCAGGGUGGAGCGCGGAUUCCAAAGCAUGUACACGUCCAGGAGCCAUGCCACGCCGCACAAUCAGCUGAGCGCGUCGGAGCAGGUCAUGCGAGAGAUCCGACGUGCGGUGAACUACUUCAAGUCGAAGGGAGAGGAGGUCAUGCUGACCGUCACCGGCCACAGCCUCGGCGGCGCCCUGGCGCUGCUGAACGCGCACGAGGCGGCAUCGGCGAUCCCCGACGUCCCCGUGCGCGUCAUAUCCUUCGGCUCCCCGCGCGUCGGCAACGAGGCCUUCGGCACGGAGCUCCGAAAGCUGAACGUGAAAAUUCUCCGCGUCGUGAUCAAGCAGGACUUGGUCCCGAAGCUCCCCGGGAUCAUCAUGAACGAGAGGAUGAGACGGUGGGAGGCGGCGGCGGGGGCGCUGGAGUGGGCGUACGCGCACGUCGGGCACGAGCUCAAGCUCGACGUGGCGGCGUCGCCGUACCUGAAGCGUGACGUCGACUUCGCCGGGUACCACGGCCUCGAGACCUACCUGCACCUGGUGGACGGAUACGUCGGGUCGAAUUCAGGGUUCAGACGGGGGGCGAGGAGGAACCUGGCGCUGGUGAACAAAGCAGGGGCGAUGCUGCGGAGGGAGCUCGGGGUCCCAGCAUGCUGGUAUCGGCCGGCGGCGGCUGCAGCCGCAGUUUCCGUGGCAAUCAACAGCUAUGAGAAAGGGGUAGUGAAAGAUGUAGAGGCUUUGUGUGGAGAAGAUGAGAUUGUUAAUAAUCCAAGAAGAGUUGAUAGAUGAUUAGCCCAAAUUGGUUUUGUACAUUCUGUAACUAUCAUUCAAUUGUAAUUAAAAGAUUGGCAUUCAGGGUUAAGAGCAAAGAUUGAUGAUUGAUCCUUCGAUAAUAUUCGAUAAUAUGGUAUCGGAGCUAAUUCUAAUUCUAAAUUUCCUCAAUUUUACCAAGUCAUGAGUUUAAAUGUCGGCAAAAUUAUCAAUUUCCCGAUCGUGCACAAAAGCAAUCGUAGUAGAUAUAAGUGAAUCAUAUGAACCACAUAAGUUAUAAAUGAAUCAAACAGAACCGAGUUUAUUAAAUUCUCGCACAAGCAAAACAAACCACUGGAACAAGCUGGGGCAGUUUCUAACAAUAUCCACAGCAACAAACCAGAUUGCUAGUCCUAGAUAAGAGGAGAGAGAUCACAACUGAUACUUCUUAGUUCCUCGCAAUGGAAAAUAACGGAAACAAAACGAAAAAAAGAAAACCCCUUUACUAACGCUAUCUAGGGGAACGAAACGUGUCUACACCCUGAUAACACAUUUUGCAGCAAACAAUCACAUAUAUACAACAAUUUUCUUAGCUUGGUAAAGGAAAAGCACCUUCGGAGUUGACCACAAAAACCAUUGCGAAUGCUGUUUUGAGAAUCCUGGAAACAUCACCAAAUAUAGCAUUAGCAUCUUCACAGAGGAGAAAUGGUAGAAAUAUAUAGUUAACACACAUUAGGUUAGGACAGGAACUAACAAGUUAAGGAUGUAGAUCUAGAUGUAUGCGAUUGGGCGUCUUCGAAGUGAUCGAUAUCAUCGGGUUUCUCCGGCUUCAAGCAAGGGGGAAUGAAUGCUGUAUAUAUCGAUUCCAUAUUCGGGGUUUCCUUUAUCUCACGGCUCGCGACCUCCAGAGGGGUGUGGGCAAAAGCGAGGUAGAAUCGGUUUUUGCAGAUAAAGGCGUAAAUGAAGGUGAUCGGGAUCAAAGGGAUCAAGAAAGGAGCGUAACAGAAUUCCUUCAGGAUGAUGAAGCCCAACAUGGUGAUCUGAUAGACUAGUAAAGCUGCAAUAAUUCGCGUGUGCAUGUGGGGCCACAUUCGGCCGUUGCUCUCGUAACUUGGCACAUAAACUCUUAGAACCUGAGUUCAGAAUGACAAAACAUUAAAUUUAUUUCUACGUUGCGGACUCAUGCAUACAUCACAGGUGUUGUUGAAGAUGAUACAUGAGUAGUUUUGUCUUAACAAGACUUGGAACUGUAAUCACAUCUUUCAUGUUAAAUGUUCAUAAUCAAGUAAAAAAAAUAAAAAGAAAAAAGAAAAAAAAAAUCUUGCUAACCUGAUUUCUUGCUACAAGCCAUCCAAGGCCAAAAUACACAACGCCGAAGGGUAUGAUUAAAGGAGCAAUCACAGAGUAGCAGAGAACGAUUGUCAUGAUGAGCAUGUCAUUUGGAACUCUAGUAGCGUAUCCCAGGUCGCCAGGAGCCCAUGCUUCUUUCACCUCUGCUUCGGUCUUACAAAGGAACUUCUUCUUAAGGUUAAAUAUGAUUAGAGGAACCAAACGAGAGAGCUCGAGCCCAUAGCCGACGAAGAAUCUGCGAUAAACAAUUAAGCACCAUAUCAGCUCCUACUCAUGUUGCAAGGCAACAACAAACGGUGAUACAUCAUCUCUGAAUAAUGUGAAACGUAGUAAAUUUUACUUUUCUUCUAAAACAAGUAAUAUUAUCAGGAUGAUAUGCACACCCUGCAUGAUGAAUUGCAUGCGGUCUUUGUCACACAUUGUAGAGAAGCAAACAAUUAACUACUGUCGGAUUUACACAAAUUUUGACAUGCGUAAGAUAAGAGAACUUACUUGAGAGCAACGAAAGUGAGGAAGAAAGUAGCAUUUCCUGGCAGGCUUCUGCCAAGCAGUGGAACAAUCUGAGUAGGAUGAUUCAAAAUGCUCUUCAACGAACUGAACAAUGUUCCCGCGAGAGUAACGCCAAUGAAGACGUUGAAAACAACGAAGUAGAAGUACUUUCCAGCCGCAGCUCGUACAGCAUGGCUCUCAGAAGCGAGUCCCUCCGCCUUAGACAGAAUCAUGAGGAACAUAGGCAGCAAUGCCAGAAAAACAAUAAGCACGAUCUGAGGCAAAUAAGCCUCCAAAACCGUCUUUAUUUCUAUUUGGUCCGCUACUAUCUUCAAAAAGGGUAGCAGUUUCUUAAGAUUAUCCAAAGUAGUAAAUGCGGAGAUGAAUGUGAUAGGAACCAUGUAGAACACCACCGUUAGAAAAACGAUGACGUACACUACAGCCUGUCGUAAUUGCCUCUCGUAUAGUUUCUUCGGGAGAUUAGUCCAUAGAACUUGGCGUGGCUCAGGAGCUUCCAACACCGCCCACGUGUUGGUAUUCUGAGCAUGGAUCGUCUGUGAUGCAGAAGCUGCAGCAGGCCUGCUGUUGAAGAAUAUGAUGGCUGCGGAUUGUUGUUUCUCACGAAGAGUGAUCUUCUGUUCCGCCUCUAAUUUGGGAAGUAAUUCGUUGAUUUUCUCAUUGCAGUAAUUGAUGGUGUCGACUUUUUCACCCACAAGACCAAGACAGCCGGUUCGGUGGGUUGGUCUAGUUCCAUCUGGUCUGCUUGUGGAUUUCGAUUCUGCAUACACGGCUUCAGCACGAGCAAGUUUCUUCUUAUUGGCUUCUAUCUCUUUCCAUAUUUUGUUGGCCUGAAUAAAAAAGAAACAAAAUGAGGCAACGAUGGUUCAAAUUUCAUGAAUCCUCCUCCCAGCAAACAGGACAAGAAAAGGCAAUCCCAUUAAACAAAAGAGGCCUCUUUGCAAGAAAGAAACAAACAAUUUUUUUAAAAAAAAAAAAAAAACAUAUUUGCAAUUUUGUCCCACUUUUUCAACUUCUAGAACUAAAAUCCAUGUGUAUACAGUUUUGAAUGAUUGAAAUUGUGCAUUAACAGUCCAAAAUGAUGAAAAGUGGCUAAACCAGUUAAAAAAAAAAAACAAUUAAGUUUUAUGUUUUUGUAAGUCCCAAAAUACUGGAUUUUUUACACAAAACAAACAGUGGAAGAUUGAAACCGGAUUUACCUCUUUGUUAUCAGUGACAACCAUCGAUCGAUAGAACGUCUCAGGAUGUAGCGCUUUAAAAUACGAGUCAACGUGGUCUUUUAUGCUUUGACCAGGUGAAGGUUUAGGCACAUCCCUAACCAAUAUGGCAAACUCUUCAGGCUUCGCAUCCGGACUUGAUUUUGCAGCAGCCCUCAGAUUGGAGACAUGCUUGUAGGUUCUCCAUAAGAUGUAAUAGGUGACAAAGGAAACCCAAUACACUCCUAACAGAAAUGCCCACAGCCUCUGACUACCAUUCUGAAAUACAAGAAGAGAAACAAUUAAACAGGAUUAGUAGAAUGAUUUAGAGUAGAGGAAAUCAGUGACCGAAGAAUAAUGCAUGAAAAACAGCAACAGAUUCCAACAGAAGAAUUGGCGGUAGUUUCUAUAGAAGAAGAAUAUGCAUUCUAUAAAAGCAGAACAGCAAGUAAUUCAUAAUAACAAGAAAGCUCACUUUGACAUUGCCCAUUGCAAGCUUGUCGAUGCUGGUGAAGUUUCCGGCAGUCUUGUUGUUUUUAGAAGCAUCGACCAGAGCGUGAUCAGUUCCAGCAACUGGAAGAAGAGCAGGAAGCAACACAAUGCCGGAGAAGACCAAUAUCCCCAUAACUAAAGUUGCCACACACACAGAAAAAAAAAAUCAGACUGCGGUGUCAGAAAAUUCUGUAACAAAAAUGAAGAGGAACUGGAAAAUUUUAUCGAUGUUCCUAAAAUAGUGAAUGGAGAUAAAGAUAGGAAAAAUGUCGGAAACUAAACAUUGUUUUGCAACAGGUGAUAACAAAAUAAUAUCAUGUCCAUGAACAACAAGUCAAUUUGAUAAAUGUCGUAACUUCAUUACAACCCCCUUAGCAAACAUGUUGUUUCAUUUAAAGAAAUUCCUGUCAAGUUAAGCUUAAUGGAUUCCCUCAAGACAUUUUUGGAGUCUAAACAAAGUACACAAGAUACUUUUAAAUCAGAUAAAACUUUAACCAAGGGGUUCAAAUGGAGAAAAGAAAAGGCAGCAGAAAAAAAAAAAAAAAAAGCUCAGGAACCUAUCUCCAAAUUAACUAUAAUUAGAUUGGUGUUUUAUAUGUUCUUGACUCAUACUUAAUUAUUUAUCAAUAUACUACUAUUUAUCAAUAUAGUUGCUUUUAAGGAAAAGAUAAUCUGUAAACCAAAACAGCUGAGAAUUAAUGCUAACUUUAAUACCACAAAACAGAAAUUGGUGAACAUUAAUAACAACUCAACAAACAUACCAAAAAUUUUCUAAGAAACAAUAAAAGGACCAUCAAAGCAAAUUAAAUAACCCAAAAUGCCCAGUAAAAAUUAAAUAAAUCUAUAUAAAUAGAGACCAUAGCAAGAAAACAGUAAAUCUUACUUAAAGGAGAAAAAAGACCAACAAAUAAAAGGCUAAAUUACACUUUUAGUCCUCAAAUUAUAGCUUAAACUUUCUAAAUUAUUGCAAUUAAGUCUUGUGAUCUAAUUUACUUGACUAAAUAUUCACUUAUUGCUAAUAUGGACAUGAUGUGCAAUCCUAAUCAUCGUCUUGUCAUCAAUCACAACAUUGUCAUAUUACUUUCAAAUUAGCAACGUAUCAAUAUUCAGUCAACUAAAUUGGAUUAUGAGACUUGAUUGUGACAAUUUAGAAAGUUCGAACUAUGAGCACCAAACGCAGAGCCUCAUAGUUUGAAGAGCAAAAGUGUAAUUUAGCCUAAUAAAAAAAAAGAAUAACAGAAACCUUACAUGUACACAAUUAAGAAGAGAGAGAAAAAAAUCAUCUCUGACUAAUGGUCCAGUUUGUGCCCAACUUGGACUAGUAUGAUUUUUUUUCUUCAGAUAAAGACAAGUUGCACCCACUUUCUCAUACAGGUCACUGAGCUUCAUCAUAUAUUGCAAUUUGAUCCUUACCACUUAAAAAAUUUGAAGUACUAAAGCCGGAUUUAUAUGGGAAUGCGACAAAUGGUUAUGUUAAAUGAGAAGUAUUAGUUCAGGGACUAAUUUAAGAGUACAGGGACCAAGUUGCAGUAUCACACGAUAGUACGGGGACAAAUUUAUUCAUUUUACCUGUAAAACAGCUUACAUGAUGGCGACUCAUUUGGCAAGAAAAAGAAGUAACAAACAAAUAAUAUCAAUAAUUGCAGGUAAUCAAAGAGGAGUAUUUAAUACGGAAAAUAUAAUAUAAUUAAAAAAAAAAUCCACAAACACUUGGGCAAAAACUGUGUGGACAUAGUGUCCACUUCACACAUCAAAGUAUCCCAGAAAUUAUCAGAAAAAUUAAAAUUUCACAUUCAAUUUUGAAAAAUUCUUCAUAAAUCAGAUAUACCCAAUUAAAUGAGGUUAUGGAAAGCCCCUCAAAAUUGCAAAACAUUUCGAAAUUGAUACUUUUAUGUUUUUAAUACCCUCUCAAAUUCCAUUUCUUUUGAUUGGAGCUACACCAAGCACCUAAAUUUGAAAUUUCAUUACACAAUUCACACUUCUUUUUUUUUUAGAACAAAAAAAUAGCUAGUCGAUUCAACAAGAUCCCUAAUUAUACGACCUAAAAUGAUUCAAAUCGAUCAAAAAUAAACAAAAAAUUAAACGGGGGAAAAGCGAAAGACACCUGUGGCGAGGAAGAUCAAGUAGACGACGGCGUCGACGCCCCCCGCGGCGACGACGUCGGCUUCGGAGGCGGAGAACGCCUCGGCGAUCCACCCGACGGGGCUCCUCGUCCUCCUCCGCGCCCCAUCCCACGGAUCCGAUCCCCUCAAAAUAGGGUUCGGGUAGUACACCACCGCGUUCUCCGGUUUCCGCGAGAGCCACACGAACACGAGCAUCAGCACCACGAAGAUGACGAAGGAGGUGGCGAGCGACGUCAAAAACGAGCUCAAAUCCAUCGUCCUCCUCCUCCUCCUCUUCUCCUACUACCACCACCACCACCACCACCACUACCACCACCUCGUUCGAUCCAAUUCGAAAAUUGUAGCCGUUUGAGCAGAGGAGGAGGAGGAGGAUGAAGAGGAGGCGAUGCUUAAGAUCGGUUUCAUGUGACUACUAUAAAAAGGGAGAGAGCACGAGAGGUGUUCGCAGUAAUGUCGCUACCGCUUUAUCUGUGUGGGGAUGUGAGAACACGAUGCUUUCGCUUCGGAAGGAGAGUGUGGGGGUGAAAUUACCGGAUUGCCCCUGGCUUUUAUGCUCCCUUCUUGGGGACUUUACAUACGUUAAGACCACUUUUUUCGCCUCAUCAAUAUUUUAGUUCAAAUUUUUAAAAAUUAUUAUGAUUAAGUACUUCAAUUUAAUUUGAUUAAAUAAAUUUUAAUAAAUUAUUAAUGUUUUAAUUAUGGGCAAACUUCAAUUACUAUUUCUAUGAUUUUGCACUUUCUCACUUUAAUACUUUGUAACUUAAAGUGUAUCAAUUUAGUAUCUGUGGUUUUAUUUUUCUUUUUACAUCAGCUCCUCUGUUAACUUUUCGUUAAAUUAUAUAUAAAAAACUUUAGAUAUCUUACCUGACUUUAUCAAAUAUUCACUUUAGUACCUUUUAGUUUUAAUUUUGUCACUGAUUUAACGAAAAAAAUUAAUGAAAAGAUAAUAAAAAGAGAAAAAUAAAACCACGAGAUACUAAAUCGAUAUACUUUAAACCAUAGGGUACCAAAGUGAGAAAGGGGUGGUAUUUGAAGUUUUUUCUUUAAUUAUUGAUGCAUUAUUAAUCAUAAUAUUAUCAUAAUACUUUUACACCAAUGAUUUAUCAAUAUAUAGUUAGUAAAAAUGGAGUAUAAAAUUUAAUUAUAAUGUUUCUAAAUGUUCAAAUUAUUAUUCGCCUCAUAGUUUGAGGACCAACCGUGCAAUUUAUCUAAAAAUAACGGUUGUCAGGAGGAAAAAGUAAUUUUCGUCUAUUUAUAUUUUCAUAUUUUAUAAAAAAAAGUGUACUUUUAUUUUUAGAUUUUUCAUCUAAAAUAUAAAGUUGUGGAAAGAAUGUUUUUAUAAAAAAUGAAACAAAAUUCACAAUUUUCUGAGAAACUAGAAACCCCUUUAGUGGGAAGAAAAAAAUGCAAUUGGUGGGCUAAAAAAAGGUUAAUAAAUCCAUAAAUAUAUAUAUGACAGUUUAAAAUAUAUGUAUAUUUAAAUUAAUUUUUAUAUUAUAUAAAUAAUAUAUUUGUAUUAACAACUCAAUAAAAAAAAGGAAAUUUUUGAAGAGCUUAUAGUGGUAAUUUAACAAUUCGAAUAAUUUUCUAAUAUAGAUAAACUGAAGACUCAUUAGGUAAAUCUUAAUUUUCUUAACAUUUAAGAUCUACUAAUUUGAUAUUUGAAUUGAGAAAUAUACUUUAAUUUCGUUAGCAUGUGAUUUACUCUGCAUAUUACCAUUAAUUAAAAAAAUAUAUAAACUAUAAACUAGAAUACAAUGAAAAGCAUUAAUAUAUUCAAAUAAUAUGUGAAAUUGGAUAAUAAUUAAUAAUUUAUGCAUGUAAUAAUAAUAUGAAAAUAAAAAUAAUAAUAAUAAUAUUGCAAAGUCUAGCACGAUUUCGAGGAAUUUAUCAUGCCAAAAUUAGACUUUUGGAUCAAAAAGUAAUUCCACAAGUAGGGACUCAAUAAUAAAGAUAUAUAUAAUAUAUAUAUAUAUAGAAAAGAAUAUGUGUAUGCAUUUUUGCUCCUUUUUGGACAACAACAACAAAAAAAAAAAAAAAAAAAGAUUUUUUUUUCGUCGAGCGAUACGCGGCGUGGACGCGGAUCACCACGUACCCGCCCACGUUCUUAGCAGGGCAUUUGUCAUUAGACUCGUCGACAUCAGGGGCCCCGGGGUUGGGGGGCGGGGGGGGGGGGUAAAAGCGUCAUUUCACGUCCUCCCCAUCAGGUACAGUGAUUCGAAGCUGUCACUGGGCCCACCGUGAUCCGUAACGUCACAAUCCCCUACUCCGACACGUGGCGUGUCUUUAUUCGCUGCCGACAGAGCCGUUUCUAUCGUUAUUGAUCCCCGCGCCGAGCCCACAACGGUUUCUACGCUGUUCAAUUCUACCUUUUAAAAACACUCACUUUCCUAAAAAAACGUAUACUACAGUAUAUUAUUCCCCUGCACCGGGUGUACAAAUACAUAAAUUUUUAUUAGAUUAAUUGCAUACAGCUCCUGUAAAUAUUUGUAAAUAUAUCUCCACAAAGUUCAACUUUUAACUCUUAUUCCUAAAAAUGUUUAGUGAUAUUUAUAUUUAUUCCCCUGAUUUGUUGUCGUUAAAAGAUUGUUUAUCUUUUAACAGUAGAUAAGUGAAAUAUCAAUUUUGCUAUCAUAAAUAUAUCCCUCUAAAUGCCCCAACUGCUAUAAUCAUGCAGAAAUAUUCUCCCAAAAAAUUUUCAAUAAUCAUCUUAUUUCUCUUUAAAACCCAACUUACUCCACUAUUGUUGCAACAUCUUCUCUCACUUUUUUUUUUCUAAACCUUUUUUUUUGAGCAAAAUAAGAAAAAAAAUCACAAAAUAAACCGAAUGGGAAAGCACUGCGCGUUUGACAUGGGUGAUGUAAUACGCAUCGUUGAUGAAUGGAGAUGGAGAAAUUUUAGUUACGAGUUCGAAACUAGCAUGAAGAAGAGAGAGGAAGAGAAAAAAGAAAAAAAGUUCUCAUUACUAGAGUUUUGAUUGAAAGAAGGAGAUAUAAUAUAAGAGGGAUAAAAAUAUCAAUGUACCUAAAUGACUAAUCAGGGUUAAGUAUUUUAUUUAUGAUUAACUGAAUUUUUUAACAGAUCCUAAUGGUAGAGACAUAUUUGAAAACAUUAAAAAUUUUUAUAGAGAUAACAUAAAAAAAUAAACUAUGUACUAAAAUAUUUGUAACUCGCUAUAUAUUUACAUAGAGCUGUAUGCAAUUAACCUUUUUUUAUUUGUUAGGAUUUUAAUGUUAAGUAUUAAUUAUCAAAUAUGAUUAUACAUUCAGAACAAGCAGCGACUUUUUACAUUUAGCAUGAUUUUUUUAUUUCUGGAAUAAUAAUUUGGUGGAGAUGGUUUUGGAUAUGAGAUUUUUUUUUUUUUUAAUGUGAUAUCUUAGUUGUGGGAACGUUUUUGAGUUUAAAAUUUGUUUUCCUAAAAGUGGAGAGAUGAAAUUUUUGUUGUUAUAAAUGUUUACUAUUUUUAUUGUUUAUUCAUCAUAAUUUCAAUUGAAGUUUAAUUUUUUUCAAAAUAAUUUUAAUGACUUCGACAAGAUGAAAAAUAGUGAAAAAAUAUUUUCAAAAAAAAUAAAAUAAUGACCCAUAAGUAGAAUUUGAAGAACUUCAAUUCAACCUAUAUAAAUACAAAAUAAAAAAUUAAUAUUUAUCUAAAUUUUAUUUUUUAAAUGUUUCUGAGUUACACUUUCAACGAAAGGGACACCUCAAAAUUUUGCUACUAAAAAACAAAAAGAAAAAAAAAAAUCUAACUAAGAGCUACGGUUACGACACGUAGCGUGCGGGUAAAAGCGCCACGUAGCAUGCGUAGUGUCGGUAGAGGCGCCGAGAAAAGCUUAUUGCGUAGACCGUGGUCCACCGAAAAAAUCUUAAAUUUCAAAAAUUAAAAUAACAGAUGUAAUAAAUAACACCUUAAUAUUUGUCUAACCCUACAAUUAUUUCUAUUUUAGGUAGAACAUUUUGUGAGCAAAAAUUUUAUGAACUUAAAAAAUUAGAUUGUGAAUUGUGGUAUGGUUAAUUGUAAUAAUACAUUGUAGCACAACUUAAAUCAUCGAUCUUUAAUUUUUUUUUUUUUAAUAAGAUUGUGUACAUGCUGUGUAUUUAUAUUUAUAUUUAUAUUUUUUAAAAAUGGUUGUGUUUUGGAUGACGUGGUGCACUUGGUCCAGCGAAAUUCCACAUCCAAAAGAGGGAAUUGGCUAGUCAUUAAAAUGUCAAGGAAGCUGAUGCUUAGCCUGAAAAGGAAAGGACUAGACGGAUAAGAACGUAUUAAAAAAUAGAAUUAAUUUCAUAGUGGUUACUUUUGCAAAUAUGAUAAAUUAUAAAUAUAUUUCUAUAAAAUUUAAUUUUCAUAUUUUUGUUACUAUAAAAAUUUUAAAAUUUUAAAAUUUAUCUUUUUUGUUAUCGUUAAAAUAUUAUUUAUUUUAUAAAUAAAAUGAUCUUUUUGUUAUCAUAAAUAUAUUUUUUAAAAAAUCAUAAAAAGUCAAUUCGCCUCAUUAACUAAUUAGAAUUAAUCAUUUUACUUAUGGUUAAUUAAUUUUUUCUAAUGGAUGGAACAUAUUUGAAAAUAAUAGAACUUUUGUAUGGACAAUAUAUGAAGUUAAAUUUUAUAAAAAUAUAUUUAUAUUUUACUAUAUUUAUAGGGACCUAUAUAAAAUUAAUCUUAAAAAAUAUGUAAACGCUCUUUCACUAUUUUUCUUUUUUCUUUUUUCUUUUUGUGGUUUAUAAUGCCCAUUGACCAUUGAGUAAAGCAUCAAAGAUAUUUUAUAUUUAUAUAUUUUUUAUUACUAGAUAUUUCUUUAUAGAUGGUGACUUUUUACACGUGUGGGUACUCCCAACCCUGUAUGAGUUGUAUGCGAUUGAUUAUCAUUCCUUCCAUGUACAUUUAUGUCACUUUUGGUAAUAAUACUUUAAUAUUGGAAAAAAAAGUGGACAAUUUAACACAUAAUUCAGAUACAGUGAGAUUUGGGAUUGCGAGGAGAUUGCAUUAAGUGUGGUAAAAAAAAUACGUUGAAAAAAUAUUUUAUUUAUUUUCGUACGUAAUAUUGCGUUCCGCAUAUUGCGAUGAGUCGAUUAUAAUAUAUUUUCUACAGUCUCAUCGGAGAACGCAGAAGCAUAUCCCUAUAUGCUUUAUUUUUCCUCAACUUGAUUUUAUCCAAUAACGUUAGAUGGAUUUCAAUAUCAAACUAAGCCUUAGUGUAAAUUAAAAACUGCUUUUAAUAAUGAUAUUUGACUUAUGUUUUUAAUCAUAAAAAAUGAGUGAAUUUUAUGACAACCAAUGCCUAAGAUGCAAUUGAUGAAUAGCAUAAAAUAUAAUUGCAUGUAAGAUAUGUGCUGAUCUAAUCCACAUCGAAAUUUGUGUUCAAUCGAAUUUUAUAUUUUCUUUCAAGAGAAAGGUGGUAUACCACCUAUUUCAUUUUUAUUUUAAAAAUAAAGUUAAUUAGAAAUGAGAAACAACUAAACUUUGAAUUUGCGAUCUCGAACAUCAACUAUAAAUUUUUUUAUUAUGUGAGUCUCCAGAUAAUCUUAUAUAUAAAGAUAUAAUAGAGCUAACCUAUUUAUAAUAUUAUGAACGGCAGUUAGAUUCAAAAGGUUAAGAGAGUUAAGCGUAUUAGAACUAGAGUAAUAAUAGGAUAGAUAAACCCUAAGAAGUGGAGUGUCACGUACCACCUGCAGCGUUAGAAACAAUCGAUGAUUGAAAUUUAUAUUAACAUAAAUUAUAUACUGUUCUUGAAUCUUAUAUUAACAUGAAUUAUUAUAUACUAGAAUUGUUCAAUUACCUAAGAAUUGAAUUUCACAAUUUUUUUAAAAAUUAUCAUACAAUAUGCUGAGUAGGUAUAAAAUGAAUGAUCAAAAUCAAAUAAUAUUGUGUGAAAAUAAAAUUUAGAAUUGAGAAUGUUUUAACAAAAACCCACAUGCUUUGAAUUGUUGGACACUGUUACAUGAGCAAACUCAUACUCCAUUCAUGUAUUUCAAAAUUGCCAAUUUUGAAGUAUUUCAACCACCAUGUAAUAUUUUUUUUAGAAAAAUUAUAAAAUUUGGUUAUUUUGUAGCUGGAAUACUCCUCAAGAUAACUAAAAAUUCAAAAUCUGAAAAUUUGAAGGUCUAAUUUUUUAAUAUAUCUUAAGCCAUAAAGAAACACCAAGUUAUAAUUUCCUACUAUAUAUAUAUAUAAUAUUAUAUAGUAUAUAUUAUAUAUAUAUAUAUAUAUUAGAGCAGGGCUGCUGUGCUCCUCAGGAGCACGGAGGCCUCCGCUACUCUCUGAGCCGUUUUUCGAUGAAUGGAGAUUUCGAAUCGACGAUCGGCUCCGUUAAACUUGAUCUAGCGUAUUUAAAGUUUCUAGAAAAUAAUUUUUUGCGAUUUUCGAUAUCAUUUACCUAGCAAUCGAAAGGAUUCAAAAUCAAUAAUUUUAAGCCUGAAAAUAAAUCUUAUAAAAAGUACGGUGAUAUAGCACUAAAAUUUUCGAUCAGAAAUAUAGAUCUUGUUAUAGAUAGUUAUAAAGAAUUUUCUAUCAAAAUUUCAUCUUAUUUAGAAUUCUACACCGUUAAACAUUGAAAACGGCAGAUAUCAACCAUUUAAAAUUACAGAUUUCGAAUUCAUUCGAUCACUAGGUAAAUGAUAUCGAAAAAUCGCAAAAAUUAUUUUCUAGAAACUUCAAAUGCGCAAGAUCAAGUCUAACGGAGCCGAUCGUCGAUUCGAAAAUUCCAUCAUUGAAAACGGCUCAGGAGCACGGAGGCCUCCGUGCUCCUGAGAGCACAGCAGCCCUGCUCUAUAUAUAUAUAUAUAUUUCCCUAUAAAAAGCCCCUCAACAUUUUCACUCACUUACAUAUAUAGUAUUUCAUUUUUAUUAAACAUAAAGAGAAGAUCUAAUACAUAGAUAUUCUUCCUUUAUAUGUGUAAUUAAACCCCUUCUUCAAGUUAUGGUAUCCUGCAUGAAAGCAUGAAACAAAAAAGAAAUAAAUAAUCAAUUCUAUGCACAACAAUAAUAUUUUCUUCCUUAAAAAAACAUAUAAUUUGUUAGGUGCAAAUUGUACGAAACAAUCGUUGUAUUAGAAAAAUUUAACCCGAUAGAGAACAGUAUUUAAAUAUUUUUAUAUUUAACGCUCUCCUACAUGAUUGGGCUCGAGAGUUUCUGCUAAAUUCAUGAUGUGAAUUUGAAUUAAAUGAAAGAAAAUUAAUAAUAUAUGAUAUCAUGUAAAUUAUACGAAACAACUGUUGUAUUAUUUAAAAAUUUAAAUUGAUAGAGAACGGUAUUUAAAUAUUAUUAUAUUUAACAUUAUAUUUAAUAUUAAGCAACUAUGAUCAUUGCAAUAAAAAGUAAAAGGUAGGAGAAAGCCAAACGGACGCCAAAGUUGAAAGUAACUCACUCAUCACAUUUUUCGAGGUCGACGGAGAAGGAGAGCGAGGCGCAGCACACGUCGGGGAGGGUUUUGAAGAGAUCGUUCCGGAGGCCCGUGUAGCGGUCGACGGCGACUCGCAUGCAGUGGCACGCCAGGCGGCGGUCGGCGGUGCUCACAGCCAGGGACUUGAGGUGGCGGACGCCGUCGCAGCACGAGAACGGCGGGCGGGGUUCAAUUCCCGCCAGGUAGUACAUGCACGUGCCCAAGUUCAAGCUCACGUUCCCGCACGACAUGGCUCGAACACCCUCCGUUGCCAUGUACACAUUCCACAGCAUCAUCAAGAGGAGUAUUCCCGCGAUCGACGUGCUUUUCAUGAUCUGUGUGAUCUUUAUUAUCUGCAAUUUGGUUAGUUUUCUGAAUGUGGUGACUCGGGCUAAGUUCGAGGGCCCAUUUAUAUGGGGCUUUGGUAUGAAAGUGGAAAUUCAGAAUUAAAUUUAUAAACAAAAUUUGAAUUUUUUAAAAAAAAACAAAUUGUAAAAGUUUUUUUUUUUUUUUUUACAAAUAAUACGUAGGGUGCAACGUAGUUACGUAGAUGACGAGGGGUUCACGUGUUAGCUUUAUUUGUUGGCACCGCGAGAGUGCAAUGCGUGGUGAGCCUCAAUGUGGGCCGAGGACACGCAUUGAGGCUUUUAUUAAUUUUUCGGCGAAGUGGGAAACAUUUGGCAAAUUUUUUAUAUAAAUUUUUAGUUAAAUUGCAGAAAAUCUUUCUGUCAAAAUCCGAUUUUUUACUUUUCUCCCUGUCAUUUAAAAACCUAUAUUUUACUUCCUUAUAAAUGAAAAAUGUUCACAGAGGGUACGGUGUAAACUUUGAUGAUAAAAUGACCAUUUUGCCCUUCAUCACAGGAGAGGAAGCUGAGGGCAUUUUUGGUAUAAAAAAAAUAUAAUAAUAUUUUAUAAAUGGAACCCUAACGGAUUACUAACGGCAGGAGGCGAAGUGAAUAUUUUUUAUUUUACAAGGGGGUAAAGUGUAGGUUUUUAAAUGACAGAAAAAAAAAAUAAAAAAUCGGAUUUUGACAGAGAAAUUUUAUAUAAUUUAGCUUAAAAUUUUCAAUCAGAACUUAAUAUUUUUCGCAACCAAAUUUAACACUAUCGGAACAGAUAAAUUAUAUCUAGACAUAAUAUAAGUUUUUUUUUUAUUAUUAUGAUAAUAAUAAAAGUAUCUUCGAAUAUAUCAAUUCUCUCUUUCGUUGUAUAACUUGUAUUAAAUACUUAUAAAAAAGAUAAAGAAUUUAAUACUGUCAGAACAGAUAUAUUGUAUAAAUUAGAUUUUUUUAUUCUAACAAUAUUAAAAUUAGCUUUGAAAAUAUCAAUUCUCUUUUUCUGAUUUAACAUACAUAUAUAUACUAAUAGGUCUUAGACUUAAUAUAGUUUUAAAUUUGUAGGUUGCAUGAAUCUUAUUAAGGUCGAAAUUAAUUUUAAGUUAUAUUUAAGGUCGAAAUUAAUUUUAAGUUAAACUUGAGCUAAGAUAAGCUCGCUUAAGCUUGGCUCGUUUCCAUUCUAGUGUUUUGACAAUGUGUAAGCAUAAAUUCACGUGUUAAUUUAAACUUUUGAAUUGGAUUCGAGCUCGGUUUAAAUGCAACGAAUAUGUCGUAAUUGAUACUAAUUUCUUUUGAUCUCUCUCUCUCUUACAAAAGAUACCUUAUUUUAGUUAUUAGUUCCAAAGCGAGAAAAUUGGGAACUAAUUCCCUCACCAAAAAGAAAAAAAGAAAAUUUUGAAUACAUAGAGAAAAUAACACUCGACUUCUCUUUCUCUUGCUUUACUCAUUUUCUGCAACUAAACCACAACCCUUCGUCGCCCCGUCGGCUCUCUUUCCGUCGCCGAUACCGAUCGCGAUCUUCUUCCGUAGCCCGAGAAGCAAACUCUCCAAUUUGUCGAGCUCUUCUGUGAUCCCGACUAUCUCCUCGCUCUCCCCAUUGCAGUCGAUCUUUUCUCGCAAGCGGCGAAUCCCCUCAACUCCCGCCUUUACACCGCCGCCGAUCUCCGCAGCUCUAUAUACCAUUCUUGUGUUCUCCUCCUGAGCCUCCUUCAGUUUGCUCUUCAUCGCCCGGUAGCUAUCUAGAGUUCUUAGCAGUUGCUCCGAUAGCGCUGUGUUCCGCUCCAGCAGAGUCUCGUGCCUCUAAAACAUCAUUUGAAGUUCAAAAUUUUAAACUUAGAAACACAAGAGCUACUGCCCUCCUAAAAGAGUAGUAAACUGCAAAUGUACUAACCGUACCUGAGCAUCACCGCCGACACUUUUCGCCACGGCCUUGUGCUCUGCCACGCACACCUUCACCUUAUCAAGUAACCUCUCAUUCUGCGACCGGAGGUCGCCCACCGCCUCCUCCGCGUCGUCGAGCUCUUGCACCUUCCUCGCGAGCUCCGCAGCGAUCAUCUCCUUCUCCUUCCCGAGGCUCGUGAACAUCCUCUCGAGGCUCUUCCUCGCCGCCAUCGUCGCCGAGAGCUCGCGCCGGAGCCGCUGCGCCUCCUCCGCCGGGUCCUGCGGCGGCAUCGGCGGCAUUGAAGGCAUCGGCUGCGGCUUCUUGUCGCUGCCGCCACUGCCGCCGUUGCGGCGUAGGUCAGUGUUGCACCGGCGGAGCUCGGCGGCGGCGCGGUGGUGGUGGUGGUGGGGUGCGGCGAGGUUGGAUUGGUGGACGCGGGAUUUGAUGUCGUCGAGGAGGGUGAGGAUUCCGGCGACACGGUGCUGCCGCCGGCUAUCGUCGGCGGCGGCGGCACCUUUGGAAGGGUAGGAGUGAUCUUGGACUAGUUUGUAAAGUAGUUUCACAUUUGCCGCGACACCUAUAGGAAUUAAAACAGUAGUACUAGUACUACGAUAAAAAGCAAAAAAGAUCUAGUUUGCACGGAAUAUCAAAACAAAAAAUUAAAAAUAUUGAACGAUGAAAAAUUUGUAUAUUCUGAUUGUUCUUCGUUAUAUCAAAUUUUAAACUAAUCAAUAAUAAUCAUAAAAAAAUCAACCAUUAAAUAUUAUAUUGAAUUAAACAAAACAUAUAACAAUAAAAGACAAAAUUAAAAUUUACCUUCCAAAGGAGAAUCAUUAUGUUGCUCCAACCUAUUAGAGGGAGUCAAUUCGGGGGACGAAUUUGCACGAACUCUAUUCAUGUUAUCCCAAUGAUCUCCUAUAUUAAACUGAAUCCAAAUUUUGAUGCAAAAGAGAGGAAAUUGUGAGAAAUAUUUUGAAUGAUCAUAAAAAGAAUAUCAAAUAAACAGGGAAAUUUUGGAUUUCUCUGCAAUUGCAAAGAGAAAUCAAAGAGGAAUAAGAGAGAGCCCCUCUCCCUCUCCCUCUGUCUAUCUCUCUUUACACCCUCUAUUGAAUUAAAAUGGUUUUUUUUUUUAGUUAUUUAUGUUUUUGGUCCAGAUCCUUUUUCGGUCAUGCUAAGAAUAGCUAGUGUACAAUUUGAGGAAUAGAGGGUGCUAAUUUAAGUAAUUUUGGUGCACGAAGAGGAGGUGCUGGACCUGUUUUGGGCCGGGUCGGGCCGGGCCGAGCCGGGUGGAGUCUGAAUAGGGGAUGUAAUGAAAAGAUAUCCUGUUACUUUUGAAGCACACGAACAGAAAUUCGAACCUCUGACCUCUUAGAUGAAACCGCAGAAAAUAAAAGAUAGUGUUACAUAUAUUUUUAUGAGUUUCACUACUAUACUUUUAUAAGUACAAUCAUUUUCGUACUUAUAAAUCGUUUUUAAUGAUAGAGCUUCCGAUUCAACGAUUCAUAAUCAUACUGUUAAGAAUGAUUUAGAACAUUUCAAAUUUCUGAAAACUAAAUUUCAUAAUUUUUCAACAUCAUUCAUUACCUUACCAUCAAAAGAUAUCGAAAUUGAUAAUUUUUAACGGAUGGCACCAGAUACUUGCCAGUUUAACUGUAUAAAAAAAAUCGAAAUCGGUUGAAUUUUUGAUAGAAAUUUUUUUUAAUUCAUUAUUUAGAUAAAGAUCAAUAAUUCCGAUCUUACAUUGAAGCAUCUGAUUCUCUAAAUAUGGUCGUUCGAUUUUAACAGUUUAUUUAAUGACGACUUAAUACAUUUUAUUAUAAUUUUAAAAAAUUAUAAAAAUUAUUUUUUAAAAGUUUCAAAUGCUUUGGAUCAUAUUUAACAUAAUAAACCGUCGAUUCGAAAGCUUUAUCAUCGAAAAUAAUUUAUGAAUAUAAGAAAUUCUAUACUCAUAACAGUGAAGCAGCUCUAACGUCGGAGGAGUACGCAAUUCGUCGACAAUUCUUAAUUUGCGGUGCUCACUGCUAACAUAAAUUAAAUUAAAUUAAAUUAAAUUAAUGUACAGGUCUAAUUAUACUAUUAUUACAUGUUACAUUAAAAGAGUAAUUAAUUAACACCCUUUGCUUAGCAACUCCUCAAACUCCGCAUCCGUGCUCUUGAGCAAAACCGCGAGGGGCAUCUUCACCCCCUUCGCCACCACCUUUACAUGCCUGGGCUUGAUCCUCUUCUCCAAACUAAACGCAAAGUACUGCGGGAACUCCUUAAGCUCCCCCGCACUACCCCCCAUGGCCUGCGCAAAGUACUCGUACUUGGGCUUGAAGUUCUUCUCUAUGCUGAACGUGAACAGGCCCGGGCACCGCCGCACCAUCGCCGCCGCCUCGUCGCGCGAGAGCCCGAGAGACGCCAAGUAGUCGAGCUUCGGCAUCAGCGUGUUCUCGACGCUGGCGACGAGGAGUAUGGGAUCGCGGUAGGCGAGUGCGGUUUGGUCGGUGAAGCCGAGGCGGUGCAGGAAGAGGAGGUUGGGCCGGAGGCGGUCGCGCACGCUGGCUGUCAGGAGGCGCGGGCAUUUGUUGACGACACGGCGGAUGUCGGGGCCGGGGAUGCGGAGGUCGCGGGAGAGGAAGGCGAAGACGGGGGAGAGGUGCGCGCGGACGUCGGCGGUGAGGAUGGAGGGGCACAUGCCGAGGACGCGGGCGAGGUCCUUGAAGAGGAGGCCCUUGGAUUGGAGGUAGGAGACGACGGCGUGGACGGAGGCGGGGGAGGCGGUGCGGAGCGCCGGGUUGAGGGAGAGGGCGCGGCCGGAGUCCACGCCCAUCACUUCCAGGCUGAUGAUCUUUUCUUUCAGCGGUGUCGGGAUGUCGGGGAAGGGGAGGGGGAAUUCGGCCCCGCGGAGGGUCACGGCCGACGGUUUCGGCAUGGCAGCGGCGGCGCAUAGAGAGCUGAGUGCGGACAUGGCGGCGGUUGGGGGAGGGGGUUAUGGGUGGUGGAGUGUUUGCACUUUGCAUUGCAUGCAAAUUGGGGUAGGAUCAUGGCUUAUCUGUUGGAGCUGCUGAUGUGGCAGAUAUGGGAGAUCUCAUUGGUGGAUAGGAUUUUAUUGGGAAUCGAGACCGACACGUGGCACCAAUGAUAUGUACAAUCAUUGUUGUCAAAUAAGUAAGAGCAAUCUAAUAAUCUAAUAAUUUCGGUCUCUCCGUUAACACCAUAAUCUUCUCAAAAUAUUUCUGAAAUGUAAAGGGAGCAAUGGAAGGUGCAAUUCCAUGUAACAACACCUUAUUAUUGAGAUCAGUGAAACAACAAACAGCAAAAGAAGUUCUUAGAUUCUCGGUAAGGAACAAUAUAUAGGAACAAUGAUUUAGUUCUCUCUACUGGCCAACAAAUUAUCCAGUUACAAGAACUGCAAAGGGAAAGCACUGCAAUAGCUGUUAAAACUGGGUUUAUCUCAAGCUAUGUGUUCGGCCAAAGCUAAGAUCUUGACAUGCUUCUUUUUCCUGAGUUCGUGCGGGACCGGCCCGAAAACCCGAGUACCUAUCGGCUCCCCUUGCUUGUUAACAAGAACGACUGCGUUGUCGUCGAACUUGAUUUCGCUGCCAUCGCACCGACCUCGCUGCAUCGCAGCACGCACGACCACGCCGUACACCACCUCUCCUUUCUUCACUUUACCACGAGGUUGUGCUUCUUUUACAGACGCAAUUAUGGUGUCCCCCAAUCUUGCUCCUUUUUUACCCUUCAAUGCUUGUAUGCACAUGACUCUCUUAGCGCCAGAGUUGUCCACCACUUUGAGGUUGGUCCUCAUCUGAAUGAAGGUUCUUUGUUGCUGAAAUGUAACAAUAAGAAAAUUCUUAUUCUAUCUGAAUGUAGCUAACAACAUGCACAGAUAAUGGUUUUCUUGAUUAAAUUUCUUUCAAUGCUUUUUAGCUUCAGUCUGUUUUGGCUCAUGAACCAUUUGUUAAAUGAGUUCUCUUCUUACAGCUAAACCUCGCCUCUUGCUGUUUUAAAUUCUUGAAAAGUUCGCGGAUAUUCGAGGAUGAUUUCCUUGUUUUCUCCUACCGUUUGUUACAUGGUGAAAAGUAUUCCAAGUAACAGAAAAUCUAGAAUGAUCUUUCCAGUAAAUUGGCUGAUAAAUGGCGGUGCUGAUAAAUGGUGGUUUAUCCAUAUUGUCCAAUAUAAGUUAUCAAUCCAUCAAAGUUUCAUCCAGUCCUCUUGGUCAGUAAUAAGGUAAAAGGCACUGGUCAUAAUUAAACCAGAUGCCACUAAUUCAUUAUAAAGUCAACCAAGAGAAUAAUGGGAAAGGAAUUGGUAAAAUGAAACAAGGAAAAACAGUACCUGAGACAAUAUAUUGCCAUAGUUUUGCCCUGCUAUUGUCUCUUGAGAACUUUUCGCUACUCCCAAUAGAUUGUUGCCGAGACUCCCCAACAGCAAACGGCCUGCUAUGAAGACAAAACAUGUCAAUGAUGUUUUAUAUAUCAAUCAAAAAGAGCAUUUGCAUAAUAUUUAACAUUCUUUCUGAUAAGACAUGAAGUGACUAAGAUUGGAACAAAAGACAAAAGAGAAAAAACUACGACUAUCCAAUGAAAUCCAUCUUCAUCAAUUACCACCUUAGUCGUUAGACUUGCUAGGGUCCCAUCUAACACUAACAACCGUCAUGUGAAGAAGGUUGCUUCUUGCGCCCAAGCUUCUCACAGGAUCAGCCUAGUUGUCGUUAGACUUUACAACUUAAUAUGCUGUACAACCGAAUAUGCUGUGAGAUUUUCCAAACUAACCCCUUAAGAUUCAAAUAACUUUACAACUUGAGAAACACAGGCUCCAAAAGCAUGGUUCUCUAAAUGAUAAAGUUCACCUUCUUAUGCACCUUGCAAAUGACGAAAAGUAGAGUAUAAUACCAAUUUAACAGCAUAAAGACCUAUACACUAGUAGUUAAUGGCAAGAUGGGAGAAAACACUACAUAAAAGGUGUAAAAUAGUUUCCCUAAUCAGCUUAGAUAAAAAAAAAUUAAAAGAAAAAAACAAAGUAUCAGCUGGAGAAUUUUCAUUUGCAUUUCUCCUUCUUAGGACAAAGACGCCUCCUUAGCACACUGUCAAUACAACCUGUAAUAAUCCCUUUUUUUUUACCUACUGAUAAGUUAAAGUAGCAUUUUUUUUCCCCUUUUUUUUGGUUAUCCAGAUUUUUCUCCUCUAUACUGACACUUUGUGAGCAUAUGUAUUAAGUGCUGCAACUAAUUUUGAUGUUCAAGAGAUAACAAAAUACAAACAAAUCACCACACAAUAAUCUAGAAACUUCACUAAAAUGAGAGCAAGCACAGGUUAUCAGCACACACCUGAAGAUAAUUUCGAUGUAACACGCGAAGCCAUUUCCCCUAACAAAUUUUUUAUGUGCAGUUGUAGUUUUUUCGAAUUCCCCCUGUUCAGAAAAUUAAACAAAUCACACACAAACAUGUGAUUCUACCAUGGAAUAUACAAUGUUUUUUUUUUCCUUUUCUAUUUUUUUUUAAGGUCUAAAUAACAAGUGGAGCAAGAUAAUACAGGAUAAUUCUCCACCAUGGUUGUUGACUAGUUAAAUAAUGCGUCUUUUUGUCCAAUUUUUACACAUAAAGAAAAAGAAUUAACAAUACUUCGAAUAAACUGGAACUCAAGAUCCUUUGUGCAUAAAAAAAUUGAAAUUUUUAUAGCAGGAGCGAUCGGUAACCAUCUGCAUACAGCCAAGUAAUCAAAAAAUUAUGAGGAAACACAGUAAAUCUCUCAAAUGCAACAAAACAAGCCGAUAAUUAUGACUUCUAACUGAGAAUCGCUCACUGAUGACACGAAUCUAUAGUCGUGAAGCUACGGAGUAUACAGAGUCAAAUCAACAAACACAUGGUGAGCACUCCAUCGUGUACGGUUAUAGAACAAUUUAGAGAGAUAGAGAGGGCACCUUGGAGAAGUAGGGGUGAGCUCCGAGCGUGGGAAAGGGGCGGCAGAGGAGGAGGAGACGAUGGUUCGGUGGAGCGAGCGAGCGAGCGAGAGAGAGAGAGAGAGAGAGAGGUUUCACCCGAGCGUGGGAAAGGGGCGGCGGAGGAGGAGGAGACGAGGGUUCGGUGGAGCGAGCGAGCGAGCGAGCGAGAGAGAGAGAGAGAGAGGUUUUGGAGGGUUACGGUUUUGAUCGGAACCGAGCCCAACCAGAUCCCUAACUAAAGUUCGAACGAGCGAACAUGGGCCGGGCCCACUUAAACAUUAGUGAAAUAUGAUAAAUAUAGGCCGUUAUUGGACUCAACUCAGCCCAUAAAAGAAAGGAGCCCGUGCCUAGUACAGUAAGAAAAUUUUGGGUCAAAGAAGACAAAGGGUAAAUUGCACCACAGGCCCUCAAACUUCAGUUACGUUUCAUUUUGGCUCCCUCUUGAAAAGUUUCCUUAUCCACCGGGUGUAAACUAUUGCCUGGACCUAGCGCAUAUGUAUAUUUAUAGUAAAUUAUUAUAAAUAUCUUAUUUGGUAUAAAAAUUUUAUUAUGUGGUUGGAUGUAUAGAGUUUGAUUUACAUAUUUAGGACGAUAUUAUAUUUUACAUCCAAUAUACCAGCUUUGUAGUUUCGUAUUUUUUUAUUUUAGUAUCACCUGGUUUAAAGUGUAUCAAUUUAGUACAUUAUAAAUUUUUUUUAUUAUUAUCUUCUUCACUAAUUUUUUUUUUAUUAAAUCAGUAACAAAAUUAAAACUAAAAAAUACUAUAGCAAAUAUUCGAUAAAAUUAUGUGGGGUAUCUGAAGUUUUUUUUGUAUAUAAUUUAAUGAAAUAUUAACGGUGAGUUGAUGAAAACAGAAAAGUAAAAUCAUAUGGUACUAAAUUGAUAUACUUUAAACCACCAGAUACUAAAGUGAGAAAGUACAAAUCCAUAAAAAUGGUAUUUGAAAUUUACCGUUUUUAAUAAAAAUACAAAUAAAUUUUAGAGAAAUAUAUACAUUUAUUUUUACCCAUGCGAGCAUUUCUUUUGGCCUGAAAUUGCCCACUCACGUUCCGAAACGUGUCCUCGAAUCUCCAACGGCAAUUCGACAAGUGGCCAUCUCACAAGCGGUCAACAAAUUGCUUAAUUAACUAGCCCACUUGGCACAGUAGAUAAAAGUGCAAAAAGAAUCAAUCCACUCUUUUUUAAUUCAUCCAUCCACGAGCUAACCCAACAUAUAAAUAUACCCCCCUUUUGUCACGCUUUGCACAUUUCGAGCUAACACUCACGUUAAUAAUUAAGCUAAAUUUUAAAUAUCACCCGUGUGGUUUUGUAAUUCUUUAUUUUAGUAUCGUAUUAUUUAAAAUAUAUUAUUUUAAUAUUAUGUUGUUUUAUUUUUUUUCUUUUUGUCAGCGUCUAAGCGUCUUCAUUAACUUUUCGUUAAAUCAUAUAAAAAAAAUUCAGAUACCCUACCUAUGGUUUAUCGAAUAUUUACUUUAGUACCAUAUUGUUUUAAUUUUAUUGCUGAUUUAACGAAAAAAUUAACGUAGUGAAUAACGAAAAGAGAAAAAUGAAACCGCAGGCUACGAAAACGAUACAUUUUAAAUCAUAAAAUACUAAAAUGAGAAAAGUGCGAGACUAUAGGAUGGUGUUUGAAGUUUUACCAAAUAAUUAUCACAAUUAUAAUAAAAACUUUGAUGCUUCCGACUUUUUAACCCUUGGAUCAAGAAUUGUACAGUUGGAAUAAUUACGAUCCCCUUAGAAUUGAGUAGUACCCCUAGGAUCGAGUGGUUCCAACAGAGUAAUAGUAUUAAUCCAAGGAUUAAAAAUAAUCAAAGAGAUUGAUCUAAAAACCAAAAAGUCGAAAGCACCAGAUUCUCUAUACUUUUGAUUGUACUGUAACUCUACUUAGACCUGGCAAUUCUGACCCAAAACCGGGGGUACCCGCGAGUUACCCGCAAAUUUGCGGGUAUGGAUACCAACUUUUUCAACCCAAAAAAUUACGGGUAAAACGGGUGAGUACCCAUUAAGCAGUGGACAUUUUGGGUAACCCGCGGGUACCCACGGGUACCCGCACAUAUAUUUUUUAAUUACAAAAUAUAUUUUCUCAAUUAAUAUAUAUUUCUUAUUAAUCUAUUCUAAAAAUUAUAAUCCUAAUUUUUCAUUGCAUAUCUUUCAUAUUAUAAAAUAUGAAAGAUUUAAGAAUUUAAAUAUUUUUAUUGUAUAUUAUAAUAUUUUAAGUAAUGAGUUAUAUUACGCUUUUAAAACUUAUAUAUAUAUAUAUAUAUAUAUAUAUGUUUUGCAUUUAAAAUAUAAGAGAAAAAAAAAGAAGUUAGGGAUAAGGCCGCAUACCCACCCACCACCUACGGAUAGUAUGGAUAAAGAUGUUGGCUACUAAAAAAUUUACGGGUAAAUUUUAUUCAUACCCAAGUAAUCCGCGGUACAAUAGUCCGUCCGCGGGUUACCCAACCCGCCCGUUUGACGAUCUAGCUCUACUCAUUAUUAAUAAUAAGUUCUCUCUCUUCUUUUUUUUUUUUUUCACUUUCUUCGAACACUCUGGCCUCUUUUUCUCCGGCAAGCGGCGUCUGCCCGGCACGCGUCGGGCCAGUCACCGAUGCGAAGGAAGACAGCCCUGCUGCUGCCCUCGUCUGCGGCCGCGCUCAAAGAGACAGCGAAGGGACGCGGAUUUGUAUCGGGAGCAAAGCUGAAUCUUGCUAAAAGAAGAUCUGGGAGUAAUAAAUUAUUGUUUAUUGCUGAGGCUGGUACAAGAUUGCAUGCUAAGAGCCUUUUUAGUUUUAUAUUAAGUUGAUAAUUAAGAUUAUAGUUAAUGUAGUUGACAUAUAUAUAUAUAUAUAUAUAUAUAUAUAUAUAUAUAUAUAUAUAUAUAUAGGGUUUGUUUGGUUAGGGAAUUUAAUAAUAGUGAUUAAGAAGGUACUUACCUGGAGCGUUUCAAGGGAACAAGAUUACGACAAAUGGAUUGCGCGUACUAUUUAUUAAUUUAUUUUUAACUAUAUUUUUAACGCAUAAUUAUGCAUUGUAUAGUUCAAAGCGAGCAUUUGCGUACAUGCCUUAAACAAUAAUAUAUAGGAAAAACUUAUUUUCUCAUUUUAAUACCUUAUAAUUUAAAGUGUAUAAGUUUAGUACUAUACGGUUUUAUUUUUCUCAUUUUUUUAGUAUCUCAGUUAACUCUCUCUUAAAAUAUAUAAAAAAAAACUUUAGAUAUCUCUCUAUGAUUUAUCGAGUAUUCACUUUAGUAGCAUAUAGUAUACGAAUUUUUUACUUUAGUAUUAUGUGGUUUAAUUUUCUCAUUAAUUUAACGAAAAAGUUAAUGGGGAGGAUAACAGAAAAAAAAAAAAAAGAAGAAAACCACAUGAUACUAAAGUAAUACAGUUUAAACUGCAAGGUACUAAAAUAAUAACGCAUUGAACUAUAAGGAUGAUAUUUGAAGUUUUUCCUCUCGUUUUCUCUCUCUCUCUCUCUCUCUCUAGGCUCCUAUGUUUUCGAAAGUAUGAGGUCUCAGUACUUGUAAGUUAUUUUCGAUGAUGGGACAUUCUAUUCCGUGAUCGGUUCCGUUAUAUAUGAUUUACGCUAUUGAAACUAUUUAGAAACUAAAUUUCACAUAAAAAUAUCAUAAAAAACAGUAAUGAAAGAUUCAAAUUUUAAAUCAGAAGCAUUGAUCUUGCUACUUAUGUUAAGUAAAAAUUUCAAUUAAAAUUUCAUGUAAUUUGAAUUAUUGUACACCGUUGAACUUAAAAAACGUGCCGCAUCGAAUAUUAAAAUAGUCUUUUUUUAGACUUUUGAUUACGUGGUAAAUUAUAUUGAAAAAUUAUAAAAUUUGAUUUAUACAUAAUUUUAGUAGUGUAGAUUAUGCCUAACGGAACUUAUCGUCAAAUUAGAUGUCCUAUCAUCGAAAACAACCUACAAGCACGAAAACCUCCAUACUUUCGAAAGCACAAGAGAUGUGUGUGUGUGUGUGUAUAUAUAUAUAUAUAUAUAUAUAUAUAUGUAUACACACAAUAGGGCUGUUGUGCUCUUAGUACGUAGCAUGGAGGUCUCGGUGUUUGUAAGCCAUUUUCGAUGAUUAAACUUUCGCAUCGACGAUUGGCUCCGUUAGACUUGAUUCAACGUAUUUGAAGUACUUAGAAAAUAAAUUUUGCCAUUUUUUGAUAUUAUUUACCUAACGAUUAAAAGGGUUCAAAAUCAAUAAUUUUUUAAUGGUUGAUGCCUGCCAUUUUCAAAUUUAACGGUGUAGAAAUAUUCUAACGAGAUGAAAUUUUGAUAAAAUUUUUUAUUACAGCAGGAUCAAUAUAUCUAAUUGAAAAUUUUAGUAAUAUAUCUCCAUUUUUCGUGAGAUUUUUAUUUGAGCCAUUAAUUUUGAACCUUUUCGAUCGUUAAAUAAAUGAUAUCGAAAAACUGCAAAAUUUAUUCUUUACAUACUUCAAAGAUAUAUCAAGUCUAACGGAGCCGAUCGUUGAUUCGAAAGUUUAAUCACAAAAAACAACUCUAAAGAGCAUAGCAGCCUUGCUCUCUCUCUCUCUCUCUCUCUCUCUCUCUCUAUAUAUAUAUAUAUAUAGUCCAACUACUAUUCUUUUAAGAUGAUGGAAGUCUUCAUCCUCCUAAGUCGUUUUAAAUGAUAGAAAUUUUGAAUUGAUUAUCAAAAUCGUUAAAGUUAAUCUGAAAUAUUUAAAGUGUUUAGAAAUUAAAUUUUAUAAAAUUUAAAAAUUAUUAUGUAGUAAUUAAAGGAUCACAAAAUCGAUAGUUUUUUAGGCCAAUAUAAGCUGUUUACUUGUUUAACUGUGUAGAACAAUCCAAACAGCUUAAAUUUUUGAUAGAAAAUUUUUAUACUAUUUAGAUAACGCAUGAUAACUCCGAUUAUGAAUUGAAAAUGAUUAACAUCUAUUUUCACAAAAUUAUUUAUUUUUAACCGUUUAUUUUUCAACUUUUCAAUAAACUUUUUUUUUUUUUAUAGAGAUAGGUAGCACGCUAUCCGUUUCGUUUAUUUCAUUUAGAAAUAAACUUAGCUGAAAAUGUGAAUCAACUAGGAUUCGAACUUUUCAAUAAACUUGAUAACGAAUUUUAAAGUAUAUAAAAUUUAGUUUUUAGAUGUAUGUUAUAAAUACUCUACAUUAAUUUUAACUGUUUAGACCAUCGAUUCGUGAUCCCUAUCAUUUAAAACGACUUAGGAGGGCGAAAGCCCCCGUUCUCCUAAAAGGAUAGUAGCUGAACUUAUAUAUAUAUAUAUGUAUCUAUAUAUGUUCAUGAGAUAAGCGCAGGUGCAAGAAAAUAAGAUUUUAAGAGUCAUCCAUGUGAGAAUUUUCACAAUUUUAUAUAUUUAUAGGGGUUAUGAGUGAAGACAUUAUAUCCUAGAAUGAGUGGGUGCAUAUCAUACACCCUAAAAAGAAACGUUUGUGUAGCAGUACUCAAGAGAAAACUAUUUAAUUAUUGGUGGAAUUAUAAAUAAAGGCUUAAUUGAUUACAAUUGUCUGGACGCAAACAUGCAAACAAGAGUACUACUAUAUCUGAAUUCACGUAAAGAUGACUACCCUGACAUUCAUUUUUUGGAGCUCAAAACAAAUCACCUUUCCGUAACAUCAAAAUAAUCCGUAACAACAAAAUCAUCGACUUGCGUUAAACAUAAUUUAUGGUCGAAAGCGAAAGCAAAAGCGAAAGCGAAAGCAGAAGCGGAAGCGGAAGCGGAAGCAGAACAAGAUGGUACCAAAAAGCUGGUGCAGAUAGUGCCCUUAACCCCACAGACACUCCUGGUGACAUUAUGAACAGUAUGAAAUAAAAGUGCCAACUAACCUAGAAUGCCCUGUUACAUCUUAAUCGCGUGUUGGUCCAAUACAUGUAGCCGAACCCAAAUGUAGUGAAUGAUUUUGAUUAAAUUAUGAAACAGUCGCAGCAGCACAUUAAUUAAUUAUAUUUGCCUCCUCUUAGGAGCUGUUUGGUUAGAUGUAAUUAUAAAUACAGUGUAAUUGGAGAUGUAUAUAGUUGAAAAUACAGCAGUUACAACUACUCUGCAUGCAUUAUGUUUGCGGGUUGGAUAUAAUAGAAAACGCUGUAACUAUAAAUAAUUUGUUUGAUUGCAUGCAGUUGAUAAAUAAUUUUUAAAAUUUAUCAUUUUAUAUAUAUAUAUAUAUAUGAUGGUGAGAUUACUUUCAGGGCCCGUUUGGUUCGAGUUAUGUAAUAUUACAAAGUAUCUCGACAUAUCCAGGUAUCUUGGACUUUGGUGUGAGAUUACUACUGAUGCUGCACUAGCGCGUUUGGUUUAAUGCAGUAAUGUAAUACUAGAUUACAGUGUUUAUAGCAUUAAUACGUUUGGUUCAAUUUAUAAAAUUUAGUAAUCUUGACAUAAAAAUAUAGUUUUUUUCAAAAUUGCUCUUGUUGUGGUCAUUUGAAUAUUAUUUUUUUACAAAAAUACAAUUUGCAGUAGUAAAAUAUAAUUUGCAGUAGUAAAUUAAUUUACAAAAAUAUAAUGUGCGAGAGAGAGAAAGGGAUAGAGAUAGAGAGAGAGAGAGACGUGCGAGAGAGAGAGAGAGUGAGAGAAAGCGGCGUGCGAGAGAGAGGGGGGAAGGAGAGAGAGAGAUGAAAAUAAUACUGUUAAUUAGAUUUGGGAUUCCUAGAGAGUAAAAUUGUCAUUUUACGUAAUAUGUAGUAUUAAUGGAUUUCAGUAAUGCAAGAUACAUGACCCCCCGUUAAUAUUUUCCAUGUAAUCAUGUUCGAUUUGUAAUGCUACAUUAACGACUAGAUUACAUAGAUUAACCAAACACAGUUAUCCUAGCUGGAUUGCCUGUAAUCCUGCCAGGAUAACUCGAACCAAACGGUUAUUUUUUGUUUAAAAAAUAUUUAAAGAGGUAAGGUUACAUUUUGUUUAAAGUUAUACUCUCCAACUGCUACAGUUGGACUUCCUCCUGCAGUUUCUACUGUAGUAGUUGGAGUUAAAUAUAUCAAAUCAAACACCGAAUUUGUAUUUGUAUAUAGUUACAACUGCCGUACAGUUACAACUACAUGUAACUAAACAAUCCCUUAGAUCCCUAAUAUUCUAUAUAAAAAUAUCUUGUGAUAUCUCCAUUGCCUCAUCCACUUUAAAGUUAUUUAUGUUACUUUUUAACUAUAGGAAAACCAAAAAAGACAGUAGAAUCUCAAUUUUAGUAGAGUCAAUUGACAUAAGUUGAAAAAAAAAACUAAACUAAUUAAGCACACUAGCUAUAAUAUAUACAGUAUUGAAUUAUUAAUAAUAUUUUAUUAUAUAUAUUUUCAAGAUAUAUAAAGUAUUUACAAGUUAAUUAAAUGAGAUUAGUCGGCGAAAGUUGUAGUAAUGUACAUAAUAAUAAUAAUAUUACUAAUAAAGUAUAUAGUUUUGUAAAAUGUACCUUAAUGAUGUUUACAUUAAGAUGGAGGAUUAUUUUGUAAAACCGCGACCACCCAUCGCAUUACUUGUUGCUAAUUCUUAUCCACUGCACCCAUCCCACCGUCCACAGGCUCCGUACAUCUUUAACAGCAACAUUUGGAACGCAUCCUAUACAACUCGUGCUGUACAAUUUGGUACAACCGUAGACGUAGCUAAUUUUGAUUGGUUCAGAAAAAAAAAUUAAUUAUUUUUUUUUAACUGGAUACAAUUGUGGGUAUUAAGGACUUGUUUAGUACUAGGGAGUCAAAAGAAGUUGGGAUGAAACUGUUUGAAUAUUUGAUUAAUUAAUUUGAGAUUUUAAAUAAUUUAGGAGAGGACACUUUCUUUCAUGUUAAGAUUAGUUAUAUAUUUUUGAAUAAAAAGAUUUGUUUCGUAUUUAAAGAGACACUUUUUAAUCUUUUUGACUUUGCGUAUAUAAGUAUUGAAUUAGACAUAUGAGAUUAUGAGAAUGUGCGAGAGAGAUAAUAAUAACUAAUAUAUUUGAGUAAUAUGAUCUGCUAAUAUACUAUUAAUAUUUCUAAUAUAUUCGAGUAAGAAUCGUGAGUGAUAGAUAUGUUGUGGAGUUAGAAACUUUUUAAAGGUUUAUCGGGCGAAAACUAGUAUGUUUGCAUCUUAGAAAUAACGAGCAAUUAAUAAGAACUAUGCAUAAAGGCUCUCAAAAUGAUUACUAAGGUAUAUUUCUUUUCGAUAAGACUACUCAAAAAUAUAUAUAUAAUUUUAAUUAAAAAUUUAUUGUAAAUAAAAAUAAAAGAAGAAGGUUUAAUUUUAUAUAAUUUCUAUAAAUAUAUCAAAUAGCAGAUAUAUUUCUACAAAGUUCAACUUUUUUUAUUUAUUCAUGUACAAAUUCAGUAAUAUUCAUAUUUAUUUAUCUGAUUUGUUACUAUUAGAAUACUAUUUAUUUUUUAAUAGAGAAUAAGUGAAAUAAUAUUUUUGUCAUCACAAAUAUAUCCCUCCAAAAGUCCAAAUAGAUAGAAUCAUGAAGAAUUACUUUCUUUUUUUUUUUUCUGCCAUCACAAAUAAUAUAAGAGAUAAAAAGGUCGAUUUACUUCAUUCACUAAUCAUGAUUAAAUAUUUUAUUUAUGGUUAACUAUAUUUUUUUCCAACGGAUUCUAACAGCAGGUAUAUAUUUGAAAACGUUAGAAAUUUUGUAGGAAUAAAUAUAAAAAAUUAAACUUUGUAAGAAUAUAUAUACUAUUCAAAAAAAAAUUAAUCCAAGCCGUACGUAAUUAAUCCAAAAAAAGGAAAUAGUGCGUGAGUUGAGGAUGUACGAAUAUCCCACACCCUGGUUGUAGAGAAACCCUACUAAAAUUUAAUAAGGUACCCGGGCCCCACAUGCACAACAAAGUUGAGUUCACAUAAUAAAUAAAUAAAUAAAUAAAAGCUUAAAGCAAAAAUAAAAUUAAAAAAAAGGGAAAAAAGAAAAUCUAAGCACCGCAAUUAAGUUAACCGAGCUUGCUCCCGUCCACUACGGUCGAACACAAACAGCCUCUCCACCCAAUAGGAAACGUCCACGUGGGACUUGUUCUUGUUGGUCACACUUCACAGUGGCAAUUCUGAAAAUCGUUGGAAUAGUAGGGGCAAGUGCGGCGGGGGAUUCCGCCGUAUAAAAAAGGACGGGGAUCGGGCGCCGAGGGGGUACGGCGUAGGGUUCGGUCGUUCCCGAUAAGCUCGGCGAUUGCUCGAAUGGGAACGAACGUCUAGGGCACCCUUUCCCGCCCCCCGUAAGCCCCUGCAAACCGCUCCCGAAACCCUAGCUGCUUCUCGCUCCGAUCGGCCGCGCGAGGUGGGGAACCGGUAAUGGCGGAUUCGCGCGUGAGGGGAUUGGAGGUGAGUUGGGAGGGCUCGAGGCGAGGGAACCGAUCGAGAGUGGUAAUGUAGGUGGAUGAUCUCUUGGUUAUCGGAAGGGAGCUGUAGAUCUAGGUUUUUUUAGAUCGGGAGAGGAGGAAGCUUUGGAUCGGAGGGGGCUGCGAUUGAGGUGAGAUGUUGAUUUGUUUAACAAAGUUGAGAUUUUUUCUUUCUUUUUGUUUUUGGGUGAUGGGGAGCUCGGGAUGUAGGUUUUUCACUUUCUCCGUGCUUCUACGUUUCAGCUGUUUCGAAAAGCUGCUUUGAGACUACGUCCACAGCUUUGUUGCAUAUAGCUUUGAAUCUAAUAAACGCUCUUAUUGAUCCGUGCACUUAAUUAAGCUCCCUCUACAUGUGUUAGCCUUUUGCAGCUGCAGCUGCAGCUGCAGCUUCUGCUCCUGCUUCUGCUUCUGCUUCUGCGGCAGGUGGUGUACAGGUGACAGUGUUGCUGUAGAGAGAGAAAAGAGAGGGGGAGGGAAGGGAACGGCUCAUCUUUACCGGGUGCAGCAGCGUAUGAUGAUAUAGCUGUAGAAAAAAGCUGCGGCUGGGAUCUGACAUUUCCGGCCACAAAAGCCAUCUCGAGCGUCCAAAGGCGCCUCCUUUGGUCUCUCUUUCUCUCUCUGUAAACAGUACUGAGACCUGUGUGUAUCGUCAUCAAUGCAAAAGGACAUCUCCACCGACUCCCAAAAACCCUAGCUGUAAAAAGCAGCCGAGAUAAAGAAAGCUACAGCUAAGUGUCGAGAGAGGGACAGAGAGAGAGAGAGAGAGAGAGAGAUCAUUAUAAAGGAGGUAAGCACGAGCAGAAGCAGAAGCUAAAUCUGGCUCCGGCGAGGUAUGAGAUUGGGCGCAUGGAGGCGGAGGGGACCCCCACCAACGCCACCAAGCGCUCUCGGAUCGCCAAUGGCGGCGGCAAGGAGGAGGACGAGGACCACGGAGUUCGCCGGCGCGGCGGAGGCGGCGGCGCUGCUGCGGCGGCGGCGGCGGCGUGGGCGCACCCGUCGUCGCGGAUCUACCGCGUCUCCCGUUCCACCGGCGGUAAGGACCGGCACAGCAAGGUGUACACCGCGAAGGGCCUCCGCGACCGCCGCGUCCGGCUCUCGGUCCCCACCGCCAUCCAAUUCUACGACCUCCAAGAUCGCCUCGGCUUCGACCAGCCCAGCAAGGCCAUCGAGUGGCUCAUCAAGGCCGCCUCCGCCGCCAUCGACGAGCUCCCUUCUCUCGACGGCUCCUUUCCGGAUCCCCCUCCGCCUCCCCCCCGCCGCUCAAUUCUCCACAAUUCCGUCGCCGUCCCCGCACCAGCGCCGGAGUCCGAGGAGGCCCCCCCGCCGCCGCACCCGCAGUUCUCGAAAUCCGGCUGCAGCAGCACUUCCGAGACCAGCAAAGGCUCCGUGCUUUCGCUGUCGCGCUCCGAGAGCCGGGUCAAGGCGCGGGAGCGAGCUCGCAAGCGCACCGCCAAAGAUAAGGAAGACGAUCCCGAUCCCGAUCCCGAUCAUCAGCACAACGAGACCUCCUUCACUGAGCUUCUCACCAGUGGCAGCGGCGGCGCACCGACGCAUCUAUGGCACUUGCCCGCUGCGACGAAGGCCGAUUACUUCGCCCAAGAAGCUGUAAAGACCCACCAAAUUCUCCCCGCCAUCGCUUCCCAAUCCCAAUCCCAAUCCCAAUCCCAAUCCCCCCACUAUGUAAACAACCACCCCACGUUGCCCUUCGCAAUUACGGCCGCCGCGGCGGUGUCGGACCACCAGGAGAUGCAGCAAUUCUCGUUCUUGCAGGAUCAGGCCGUGGCGGUGGCGGCAGCUGGGGAGAGCCUCGGCUUCUCGAUCACGUCAGGCCUCGCGGGUUUCAGCAGGGGGACCCUUCAGUCCAAUUCAGCACCGUCCCAUCAGCUUCCUCACCACCACCAGAACCUGCAGAGGUUCUCGUCUCCGGUCGACGGCUCCAGCCUGUCCUUCUUCUUCGGCGCCACCACGCAGGCCGGCUCGGCCGAGGGCCAGUUCUCGGCCGGGUUCGACAGCCGCCUGCACCUCUGGGACGGGUACCGGCAUUCCGACUUGAAGGGCAAAGGGAAGAACUGAAAUCCUUGCUGGUAAUUAAGAACCUUUUCUCUCAUUUUCGUUCAGCUUUGCCACCUUCAUAUGUACAAUGCUUGAGUACUUGUGUUAGUUUAGUUAGUCUCCUUCAUUACCAAUUUGUUUAACUUUAAGCACUUGUCUCUCUUUCUCUCUCUCUUUUAAUGAGAUGUUUAAAUAAGUUGUGUGCUUGUUUGUCCUGAGGUUGCCUUUUGUCUUUGAUUGCAUCUUGGACUCUAUUACUACUACUAGCUUGUUCACUUUAUUAUUAAAUUAUUAUAGAGUAGGGGGCAAAAAAGUUGCUAUUAGUUAUUACUACUGUUCACUAACAUUACUACUACCCAUUAGGUGGUGAUUACUGUAGCCCUAUCUCUAUUUUGCUAGCAUUAUCUUAAGUUUGAAUUGUUUCAGGACCUGCUAAAAUUUUGUGAGAGAGAAGGCUAUAAACAGAAAUUAUCUAUCUGUAGAAUGGAGAACUGGAAUAGCUGCAAUAAGGUAUGAUUAUUGGAGAAGAGUAAAUAAUAAUUUUUGCGAAGAUAUGUUAGAAAGGAGGAAGAAUAGGAAGAAAUAGAGAGAUAUGUGUUCAAACCCUCUUUAUUUAUAGAGUUCAUAGAUUCAUUAUGCAUGUUCUCAACUGUCAUAUCUAAAGCAUUUUUCAGGUAGCUAAACUAAUACUUAGUUUCUGUGUUUUUUUUUUUUUUUUUUUUUUUUUCUGUUUCAUGAAUAAAUAGAUAUUGGGCUAAGCAAUUUAUUCAUGAUAAAAUCAGUUCGCCCAAACACAAAAAUGUAUAAAUACUCAAUUCUACUAGUAGUGUACAGGUCUUUUACCCAUUUUUUGAUUUCUUGUAUCAUGAAUAGAUUGCGAGUCAGCUCAACAUUAGCAAACAUCUAGUUAUUAAUGAGUUAGGCAAACAUUUUAUUCCAAGAUUUUCGCCACAUUAGAGGAAAUGUUGCAAAAAGGAGUAGAUUCUGUGCACCUUACAGAUGCUUCAAUUGUAAUACUUCUGAGUAACUGCUAUAUUUUGUUAGAGCUUCUAUAGGAAGACUUUCUUUGUGAUGAAUUAAGUAAAUAAUAAUAAGGGAAAACUUCAAAAACCUCCCCUGUGGUUUCGCACUUUUUCAUUUUAGUACCCUGUGGUUUAAAGUGUAUCAAGUUAGUACCCUGUGGUUUCUCACUUUAUCACUUUAGUACCUUGUGGUUUAAAGUGUAUCAAGUUAGUAUUCUGUGGUUUUAUUUUUAUUUCAAGUUAGUACCCUGUGAUUUUAUUUUUGUAUUAAGUUAGUACCUUGUGGUUUUUAAACCACAGGGUACUAAAGUGAUAAAGUGCGAAACCACAGGGUACUAACUUGAUACACUUUAAACCACAGGGUACUAAAGUAAAAAAGUGCAAAAUCACAUGGUACUAACUUGAUACACUUUAAACCACAGGAUACUAAAGUGAGAAAAAGUGAAACCACAAGGGGGGUAUUUGAAGUUUGCCCUAAUAAUAAAAAGGCAUAGACUGUUGGAAAUUAACCAACUACAUCCAUUUUAUUGAGUGCUUUUUCCGUAGUUACUGCCGAAUAGAAGAUUUGCUGAGAUCACAAUCCUUAGCAACAAAUGGAAAGUUUAAUGACUCGUUGAUGCAUAUCUUGCUUUAAUAUUGGGACACAAAGUAUGUAUUUUGGAGGGCAAAGUCCUUAUUGCUUCAGUUUUCUAGAAUACAAACAAUAUGCACAAUAAAUAAACCGACUGAACUGACUGUAUAUCUUAUGAACUCAAAUGAUCUUUUGUACUUGAAUUAUCUUGCUUACUAAGAUGUGUUGAGUAAAGUGGAGAAGAUCUGCAGGCAUGUCAAAGCACCAAUCAAGUUAGAUUUGGAUGAAAACUUAUUGUGUAAUUUGAUAGAAUUCUUUCUCCUUGAUCGUUUUAUCGCCGUUUACUGUUGGAAGAUUGGGGCCCAAAUUCAACUCAGACUAAAAAAUUGUUAGACGGAUCUGUUCGAAAUUGUUGUAAUUGAGCUAGGAGGUUGGUUAAUAGCUCUCCAUAUAUGUGUGACCUCAAGUUUAGUAACUGUUAAGAGGAAUGCAAAUCAACCCUGAACCUAAACUAACCUCAAACCCACCCUGGUUCUAGUUCACUCUAAAGAUUCUAAUCUAGAUUCUAGUCUUAACCUUAUGCGAUAUUUUUGCAUUUAUCUGGAUUUUGCCACGUAUAUAUAAGUAGCCAAAUGCCUUCAUAUGUUUGAUGUUUCUUUUAGAUGCUUCAGUUCCUUGGGCAUGCUAUUCCAUCCGUAAGUUUUUGUUGAUUUUGAAAAUUCUCAGAUAUUGGAAACCUACUUACGAACUACUCCAGAAUUCGUUUAAAACAUAACUAUCGGUACUCUUUCAUCUCAGCAGUUCGACCAAAUUGUGAAGAGCAAUGCUACUAUGCUUAUAAGCAACUUUUACAAAUGCGCAGAAGUUGUUGGAGUUGAAUGACUGAAUUUCUUCCUCAUUCUGCUUUCAAAUACCUCUCAAUGCAAUGCAGCCACAUAUGCGAGCGAGUUUCCUAGUAAAAGUAUAUAUAUAUUUUUUAAGUAUAGCAUUACUCAUUCUGAGAACAUGAACUUUAUCCUUUCUGCUAAUCUCGUCUGGAGCUCAUUUUUCUGCUGUUUCUUCGAUAACCAUUUCCUCUUGGAAUUGAAUGUAGUGUGCUGUUUUCAAUUGCUAUGGAUGAGGGGGAUUUGUGUUUUGUUACAUCUCACCUUUAGCUGAUCACCUCUCUCUACUGUAAUCUUUCAAGUCAUUUCCCCCUGCUGCUGUACUAAAUACGCACUCGAUUAGUGCAGGGAGUGGAGCUCAAAGUGAAGGUGAAUGCAGGUCCGUCCAGCAUUGGCGGAUUACCUCCCUGUACUUCAAUUUUCACUGGAGUUGUCAUUGCUAUCUUUAAUGCGAAAUUUAUCUUUUUUCUCCUCAUGAAUUGUAUUUAUCAUUCAUGAGUUUUAACUGCUGUAUCGUCGGUGUGUUUCCAGCGAGAAGCAGAUCGGAAUGCGGAAGGUGUUUGUAUAACGGUAGAGAUGGCAUUUGUAUCUGCUGAACCUUUGCUUGUGAUAAUUUUUAGGAGGUAAAAAUUACGUCUUUUUUUUUGGGGGUGUACAUAAAUUAUAAGACUGGUGACAGUCUCCUGGAGCUUUUACGUGCGUAAGUUGGAUUUUUCAGAGAAUAAUGCUACACUUAAAUUAGCAAAUCUUAUCAUCAUUAAUUAAUUAAUUAAUUAAUUAAUUAAUUAAUUAUUAUUAUUAUCAUUGUGAAAAGUGAUUUUACCACACUGUUUUGUAUUAUAGAGCUAAUUUCAGAUUUAUGUUAGUUUUUCAUUUUUCUGACAGAUAAGUUAUGAUUUUGCGAAUUGAAAACUGUUUAGUCUCAGAUUUAUUCACAAUGUCUGAUCACUCUCCUGCCCUUUCCCAGUGCUGUUCCUACCCCCACCUAAUGUUGGGUGAUUCAAUUUACGUGCGAAGAAACAUACCCAAACAAUAGCAUUGAGGUUCUAGCGGCCAGUAAAAAAUAAAAAAAAAAAUAGCAUUUCGAGUGCACCUAUUAAGUUUCAGACAAAUUAACAAUCUACAUAAUGUUCAAUAUCAUACAACAAAGCAAGGAAAUAAUGAAAUUUGGAAAACCUGCCAGCAGGUUUACUAGAUUACAUGCUCUGAAACUCCAGAAUCGAUGUACAAAAAGGUGCUUGCAAUGUAAAAGCAUUUACGGAAGUAGCAAUCUCCGUAAAUGAGAACUGGUGCUACAUACGGGAUGGCUUCCUUGCUCCGUAAAUCACACGAGGCCACCGUAGUUCGAUAUUGACAUGUCGCGGCACUUUCUGCUACAAUAAUGAACCGUCUUGCCUGCGCUUAUGAGGUUUAUUGCCGGAUGCAUUUUUCCAGUGCACCUGCAAAAUAUCCAAUUACCCUGAUGUUAAAAGGAGGGUAAACCACAAUGUCAUCACUCAAUUAUGCUAAUUUAUCAGAAAGGCGAAAAAAAGUAAAACAAAAGAGUGAACAGUGAGGACCAACACAGCAGGAACGUUUGCCAAAGGUCCCAAUUUCGUAGGAAGGCAGUGUAAGUUAUAGACUCUAUUAUUCAUUAUCAUCUUUAUCAUCAUCAUUUUCAGUGAACUCUGUAUAUGUGACGAGGAAAAAGAGUAAGAGUCCCUGAUAUUAUCAUCAAGAGCUCAUUCGCUCCAUCAGAAGCGAAGCAUAGUCCAACUAAAACACAAGCUACUACUAUGCUAGUAUAUUACUCGGGAAACAUAGUUUGAAACGAUAAAAAAAGAAACCUCAUAUCACUAAGGGUGAGAUCAUCAACGCACAACUGGUCGAGAGCAUCAGGAAGGGUGAUCAAUAAACCAAACCAUUUCAAAAUUGAUUAGUUAGAACUUUGUUUGCCGUAUUACAAACUGAAACAUCAGCGAUCUCACCGUUCAAGCCCUUCCCCAAAAAGUACCAACAUGGUUAGAGCAAAACCCAAAGUUCAGCACACUAAACAAUAGGGUAAUUGAUAAAUUCUUACAAUAGAUGGAAAACAAAAUGCCAACCCAUCUUCCUACUAGAUGCAGCAUCAUGCAAGAAAGGAUCGCCGCGGACGAUAAAUAAAUAAUCUACCUCUUACAUGUUUAGGAAAAUCUAGAUGAAGUAACUUAGACUUUCCCUUUUGACAUCAAGCAACAAAUAGCCAAAGCCCAGCAAAGUUCAUUUCCCAAUUAAAUAAUCUACUUCUUACAUGUUUAUGAAAAUCAAUAUGAAGUGACUUAGACUUCCCCUUUUGACAUCAAGCAACAAAUAGCCAAAGCCCAGCAAAGUUCAUUUCCCAAUUAAAUAACAUCCUACAACUACAGAGAACAGAAGCAUUCAAAGAACACCAUCUAGCUGUAAUUGUUUAAGGUCGCAACGCAAUUCAUUUUCAAAUCACCAUCUAGCUCCAUCUAGUGCCGAAUCGUUGGCGCUAACCAUUAAUCCCACAAACAUGAGCAGUUAGAAAUACGCAACCAAUUCACUUAAAACGUACAGAUACAGCACCCACGGAUCUCGAUUGUGAUUUGACCCUACUAGCCUCACGCCAUUUCAAACAUGACUCGGCCCACCUAGCCUCACGUCAUUUCGAAUGAGACUCGGUCCAAUCUAGCCUCCCGUCAUAGGGCAGAAUGCUGGCCCCUUUAAGCCAACACCUAGUGCCGCUAGAUCCCAUAUUAAUCAAAUGCUUCACAUCCUAUGCCCGCUACAUUCCAGUUAUAAUGGCAUUCCUAACCCAAAAUUGGCAAUAAACAGUAAUCAUUAUGUCAAUUUGUUAUCUGUUAAGUUGGAAGUACUCAAUUAAUCCAAGUAAAAUGCGGGACAUACAGCGGUAGGGAUCGAUCCAGGCGCGUCUUUUGGAGAAUCAGAAGGAGUUCAUUUCGAGACAGUAAGUCCGCCUGUUCACCAGCAUCCUCGCGGCCAUCCCAUACGGCUCCUCGAAUGCAUUUGACACCCAGCCGUGCACGUCGGCAGAGCCCAAACCGGCGUUGCCCUUCUCCUCGUUCGGUCGGACGGCCACCAAUGUCGCCCCUUUGAGCACGAGCCCUGCCGGCAGCUCCAGCAGAGGGGCGUACCACAGCAGCAUGCUGAGGGCCGGCACGAGGGUGCGCUGCGAGUUCCCGGGCGCGCACGCCGGCGUCACCCGGAGCUCCUGCAGCUGCCGCGCGUCCAUGGUCAGCUCCCCCUGCCCGUCGGAAUCCGUCAGGUUCAGGCUCUGCAGCGUCGCGUGCUCGGCGAUGAUCGGGUGGAGGAGGUAAUGCCGCGCCGAUGCGGCGAUGAGAGCGCUGAUGGUCCAGACGACGCGGAGCUUCAGUUUUCCGCUGGAGUAGAAGGAAUCCGGGAUGCUGACGCUGCUGUCGUCGUCGGGGAGGGAGGGGUCGUGGGAAUUGGGCCUAGGGUUAGGGUUUGAGGAGUUGGGGGAGACGGAGGAGGCGCAGAGGAUGACGCAGCUGUCGAGGGUGGAGCCGAACCCGGCCUUCCACUUGAUGAGGAGGCCGUCGUCGACGGUGAGCUCCCCCGCGGGGAGCUCGAUCCCGAGGUGGCGGAUCACCUUGAAGCUCUUCAACACCUCCGUGGGGGACCGGUGGGAGACCCCGGACUCGGCAGCGGCGGCGGCGGAGGAAGAGGAGGAGGAGGAGGACCUCCGGUGCCCGGAGGCGGGGGAGAAGAUCUGGCCCAGGGCUUGGAAGGGCUUGACGAGGCCAGCGAAGAAGAAGCGGGAGAGGUGGGAGAGGACGCCGCGGGGCCUGUCGACGACGCGGUCGACGAAGGGGACGAGGAAGCGGAAGCGGCGGGAGACGAGGGAGCAGCGGCCGAGGGCCUUGACGUCGCCGAUCCAGUUGAGGACGACGAGGAUGAUCGCGUCGGGGAGGCGAUCGAAGUGGUCGACCCCCUCCGCCGCCGCGUGAUCGCUCGGCUCACCUCCGCCGCCGCCGCCGCCGCUGCCGCAGGAGGAGGACGACAUCGGGGUCGAGUGGGGGGUAGGAAGCAGCACUAGAGCGCGGCCAUGGAGGAGGUGGGGAUAGGAGGAAAGCGCGAGCGGUCGAAACCCUAAACCUAACCCUAACGAGAAGAGGAAGAAGAAAGGAGAGGGGGAGCGAAUCGCGAAGAGCUGCUACUGCAACACGAUUUUUAAAGCGGAAUGGGUAGUAGUCUCUCUCUCUCUCUCUCUUUCUCUCUCUCUCUCUCUCUCUGUGGGGAUGGUGACGACGAUGACGAGAUAGGACAACAACGAGACGAGUAGUUAUCUCGCUGAACCAUCUUCACCACGUCAUCUGUAAACCGUGAGGAAAAUUUCCUCGACAUCCAAUCUCCAACGGUCAAAAUAUCGGUCCACAGAUGACUUUGUGGACAAAGUCCAGGUACUUACUUACACCGAUACCGCUCUUUAUUUUGGUUUUACUUACUAUUUUUUAUAGUUAAUUUUUAUAUCGUAUUUUUUUAAAUCUAAAUACUAUUACUGUUAAUUUAUUAUUAAUACCAAGAAAAUCAUUUCAUUAAAACAGCAUGUCUUUUUUAUUUAUUUUUUAAAAUUUGUUGAUUUUUCUCCUUCAUGAUCAUUACUUCAAAUUUCAAAAUAGAAGGCUCACAAAAUCGAAGACAUUUGAUUCACUUCAUCACAACGACAUGGUAAAUUUGUAUGCAAAAGAGAUCAUCAGUGCGUUCACUGUUUACAGAUCCAGCGAAACAACAAGGCUUCUGAGCACUCCAGAAAAAUUACAGCAUUAUUUCACCGCGAAUAUCUUUACAUUCUGAUAAUGAACUACUGCAGCUGCUGCAGCUGAAUCCGCGGCGUCAGCGUCGGCGGUGUUCCGAAUGCUUGCUUAUUCCUUGCAAUUUUAAUUAUGCAAUUGCUAUUCUAUGCAAUUUUUCAGAUUGAACAUGAAAGUCAUGCACUAGGACAUGUUCAUAAAUAAAUAGAAAGGAACUUUGUUUUCUGCAGCAUCAGUUCACCUCUGUAUUUUUCCUGCAACAUAAUGUGAUGAUUCCAUUAGUAAGAUUACAUGGUUUCGGGUUUUUUGCGAAAUUAGUCCACCUUUCUUCAGAUGCUGCAUUUUUGUUUUCCUUUUUUUUUUUUCGUUUUGCAACUUUUCGACAGUUUGAUGACUUUUAUGUUCUAAAGUAAUCUUCAGCAUAAGGUUUCAGCUCGAGAAGAUAUUUCGGCCCACUGUGUUGAAAAAGACAAAGAUUGGACUAAUAUAACAAAUGACAAACAAGGUGGACUAAUCUUGCAAACUGGGUAAUGAUAUUUGAGCUAUUUUACCUGCUGUACAAAUUAUAAUCGAAGAAAUUUCAGUGCGGCAAAUUGGAAACACCAUGGUAAGACGCACUCGAUAACAGUAGUUUGAAAAGUAGAUCAAUUGUUACUUCAACAGCCGACGAAAUGACUACGGAUAUAUAUAUGUUAAAUGGAUUCUACAAAUGGAACAGUCGUAAGAAAAAGAGGACGUUGUUUGAAAAGAAACUGCGGUGAGAAAAGAUUGACAAAUCGAUGAACUGAUGUGCCGUAAAUUCAGCAAACAACAAGCUGGAAGAAUGGAGAGGCCAUACAUGAACAUUAAGAGCAACUUCAAUGCCUUGCAACAAAUCAACAAUGCUAGAGAUACGUAUCAUAAGGUUCUCUUCUAACCUUUGAAAGAGGUGGUCUCUUCGUCGAAAGCUGUCUCUGAUGUCGGGGAGGAGGGAAUAUCAGAAGAAGAGGAAACCCGAGCAUCGACCAACAUACUUAUAACUUCCCUCAUGGUCGGCCUGUCGAGUGGUGAUUCGCUGGUGCAGAAAAGUGCGAUUUUUAGAACCAGCGACAUCUCCUCGAUCGUGCUUUUCGAGCUCAAGUCGAGUCGGCUGUCAAAGAUCUCGGAUUGCGGAGCCGCGUUCUGCAUUAAUCUCCGCACCCAGUUGACGAGAUCCCCUCCUUUCUCGAGAGGCUGAAUGGGUGGUUGCCCAGUGACUAGCUCCAGGAGAAUGACGCCAAGGCUAUAUAUGUCGCACUUCUCAGUAACCUUCAUGGUGAAAGCGUACUCUGAAACAUAAUAAGAUGCCGGGUUUUAGAGAGCUAUAAGCUGCUAGCAGCAUAUUAGAGUAUCUACAUCCACCACCAAAUUCUGCUACAUAACAUGAAAUCAUCUAUCACUUAUUCAAGUGGAAGAAUCUUACCUGGGGCAAUAUACCCGUAUGAGCCGGCAACGGCGGACAUGGUCUUUGAGUGCGAGAUAUCAAUCAGUUUCGCCAAGCCAAAGUCCCCGACAUGAGCCUCCAUUGCCUCAUCUAGCAGUAUGUUAUUCGACUUGAUAUCGCGGUGUACAAUCUGCGGCUUGCAAUCGCAGUGAAGAUAUCUCAACCCUUCAGCUGCUCCAAGAGCAAUUCGAUAACGCGCAUCCCAAUCGAGCAUGCAAACCUCCUUAUCCCCGUGAAGAAGCUUCCCGAGACUACCAUUCGCCAUAUACUCGUAAAGGAUAAGAUUCGAAUCCUGGUAGGAGCAGAAACCAUACAGCUUAACGAUAUUUCGGUGCCUAACAUUUCCAAGAGUCGAUAUCUCUGCUCGGAAGCUACUAUCAAUGUUCGAACCCUCUCCUUGAGCCUUGAUCUUCUUGACAGCAAUUAAACUUCCAUCAUACAUAACAGCCUUGUAUACCGUCCCGCAAGCUCCUCUUCCUAUAACAGCGCUUUCGGAGAAAUUACCCGUGGCCUCGAGAAGCUCUUGGUAAGUUAUCUGCUCCUUGAGUAAGUAAUAAGGACCCGAAACAUUUUGUUUACGAUCUUCAUUGGAUGGGAGAUUAGGUGUUCGGCGCUUUAAAGACCAGCAAACUGCGGCAGUUAAGAAUAAGGAAACUAUGCCGACAACAAAAGAAGCAAUACUAACUAUCUUCUCCCUCGAGGCAUCCUUCUUAGCCCAAAUGGCUGGUGAAUUAGACGACGGCAGCGAAAUUGGCUCGCAAGGUUUUGUUCUCAUCCCGCAUAAGCCGAUAUUUCCAAGAAAAUUGCUAUUAUCCAAUUUUUGGAAUAGUGGUAUAUUAGGUAGCGAGCCCAC